Molecule: long non-coding RNA, 82061 nt
Filed under: Triticum aestivum (bread wheat)
Lineage: Eukaryota; Viridiplantae; Streptophyta; Magnoliopsida; Poales; Poaceae
Description: long non-coding RNA (TAES_LNC021479)
Rfam family: MIR1120/MIR1122 microRNA precursor family (bases 26190-26325)
Source: RNAcentral
UGAUCACCAAAUGGCCGGCCCUCCGGCGAGGUCGCAAACCCUGAUCGAUCGUCAUCCGCACCAAGUGGCGAAAUUUUGUGCUUCUUUCUCAAGCCAAAAAAAAAGAAAAAAUAAUUGUAGGACACGUUUCGCACAAACUGCUAGAUUAAGUACGUGGCGCGCCCGAUUAAGUCCGAAGUGGUUACAGUUCGCAAGGAGUUUAAGCCUGUAAAACUAGUUCUUUUUCUUUGAUUUGGUAAUAGUGACAAUAAAGUGUCUUGGGCGGCCAAAUAGUGGAAGUACAGUUCGACUUUUUGAGUUUCAUCCGGUAACUUCACCCAGUGAAUUUUCUUUCAACGUUACAAUGUGUUUGUGCGCGCGCGUGGGCUGUGUGUUUUAGUUGAAUUUGGAUCCUUUCAAGAGAUUAGACGCGCUCUUUGGGAAUGCUGCAGUAUCAUUACAAGCAUGGGGCAGAGAACGACCGGAAACAUCAAGUUGCUCAUGACAGUGGCCACCUUCGUGAUAUGCAGAUUCGACAAGGCACAGGAAGCCCGCAUCCCCACGGAUCAGGAGCUCUGGUUGUGUCGUACUCUUGAGCUUGCGUUGCUGGGCAUGGCCUCGCUCGAGCGGACAAUUGAGCGUGAGCGCUCAAGAAUGAGAUGGGUUAAGGAAGGAGAUGCUAACACGAAGCUAUUCCAAGCUUCCGCCAACGGCAGGAGAGUCAAGAACUUCAUCCCGCUUUCCGCAAAAAAAGAAAAAAAGAAAAAAAAAAGAACUUCAUCCCGCGAAUCAAGGUGGGAGACGAGGUGCACACCGAGCAAGCCCGCAUCGAGGCAGCUUUCUCCUCAUCUUUUAAGGAACUUUGAGUUUCAUUCGACCCACUAUCAACGUUACAAUGUGUGUGCGCGCGCGUGUGGACUCUGUGUUUUAGUUGAAACGAUUGCAUUUUACUAGUGAUUGAGGCCCGUCAUUGUGGGCCUCUUGAAAGGAAGUUGAGCGCGUAUUUUUUCUCUUAAAUGAAACAAAAAAUUCUCACUUUUCUUUUAUUUUUUCUAAAAAAACUUUCUCGCAACACUUUAACAUCACAUCCAUCUCAAACAGAAAAGGAAAAACCUAAAAAAUCUCAAAAGCAAAAAAAAAGUCUCACUUCCAUCUUCCAAAAAUAAUCUAAAAAAACUUUUCUCAAAAGAAAAAAAAUCUUAAUUUCAUCUUCCAAAAAAUUAAAAAGUUUCUCGCCACGGCCAACCAGCAUGCGCCAUGUGGCCAUGCUGGUUGGUCGCCCUUCUCCCGCACGUUAAUGUGUUUAAUUAGACAGCCUUCGAGGCCACUAACGUGCUAACGGAUGCUCCAGCCAAGUUUUACAAAGCUUAUUCAAGCAACUUUGCCUACUAAGUUAUAGAGCGACUUUAUUCGCCAAACAUAGCACCCAUCUAACUUUUAACUCAAAACCCUGUAGAAGUCCUUUCACCUCUUCAAUAAUGUGUCCAUUUGUACAGCGAUCUCAAGCACCCCUCCUUGCUCCCGUGGACACCUGUCUGAAAGUCAGAAUCUAGGAUGAGCUUCCGAGCUCCAAUUUCUCUCGCAAGUUGAAUAGCACGCCGGCACGCCAUGAGUUUAGCAAGUUCCGGAUCCGUGAUGCAGGGAAAAAAGGGCAUAUUCUCCCUCUUGAAAAGCUCCAUGAUGGUCCCUAGAACCGCCCAUCCACCGCCAAAAUCAAGAGUCUUUGACAUAGCACCCUCUGUGUUGGCCUUGACCCAUCCUACCCCUGGAGGGCUCUAUAGGUGUCAAAACCGGCGGAUCUCGGGUAGGGGGUCCUGAACUAUGUAUCCGAGGAUCGAUGGUAACAGGGGGAAACAAGGACACGAUGUUUCCCAGGUUCGGACCCUCUUAAUGGAGGCAAUACCCUACUUUCUGCUAGAUUGAUCUUGAUGAAUAUGAGGAUUACAAGAGUUGAUCUACCUCGAGAUCGAUGUGGCUAAACCCUAGAAGCCUAGCCUAUGGUAACUGUGAUUCUGCCUCUACGGACUAAACCCUCCGGUUUAUAUAUGCACCGGAGGGGCCUAGGGUUGUACAUAAUCAUCUUGCAGAGGAAGGAAACAUUACACCCGAACUUUAAACUUGCCAUUCUACACAUAUAGGAGUCCUAUCCGGAUACAGGAGAUAAUCUUCCGUAGUGAUCUUCACGGCCCACCAGUCCGGCCCAUAACGAGUAAUCCGGCCACCCGAGGACCCCUUAAUCCAGGACUCCCUCAGUAGCCCAUGAACCAGUCUUCGACGACGAUGAGUCCGGCGCACGUACUAUCUUCGGCAUCGCAAGGCGGGUUCCUCCUUCCGAACAUAUGAAGUUUAUUUCCUGGAUAAAGGAACCAUGUCCGGCUCUGCAUGAUUAGUACAACCCUUAGCCACGAAGGCAAUGUGUCAAAACAAACACUGUGUCUUUACUGACAACUUUCCAGCGAAAUGUCAUGCUUGAUCCUUUAAUAUUUUGAACCGUUUUCUUGACUCUGGUUUCGCAUUUCGAGGCAUAGCCUCUAUUGGCACAUCUUGUCGAAGCAGAGAUCGUGCCCGCUUAUCGUGGGAUCCUCAUUAAUAUGAUUUGGGUAACCCAACCGCACCUUACGCACGAUUACGGUGGGAACAUACGAGUUUUACAGCUCGAGUGGGAGGACACUUGGUAUUUACUGCCUAUAAAAGGACAUAGAUCCCCUCUUUUACCUCAAGCUCUCCUCAAGCCCUUGCUGCCCAAUCUCUUAGCUCCAGCGCCCACAGCUCCAGCGCCCGCAGCUCCCAUCUCCUCCACCACCGCCUCCUUCUCCAGCAACGGCUGGAUCUGGUUCCAAGGGCAAGUGGGAGGCCUCCACUAUCAAGGAGAAGAACGUGAAGAGUCUCCGGAGCGCAGGCUACCUCGCCGACGACAUAGGGCACCGGAUUCCUGACGAGGAUCAGUUGAUCCCCGUCCCUGAGCCUGGUGAGAGGGUGGUAUCCAUCCCUCACUUUAUUCGGGGGCUGGGGUUUCCGCUUCACCCCUUUAUUCAGGGUCUCUUAUUCUUCUACGGGCUAGAUUUCCAUGACCUGGCCCCAAACUCUAUCCUCCACAUAUCGGCUUUCAUAGUCGUGUGUGAAGCUUUCCUCCACGUCCCCCACACUUCGACUUAUGGCUCAAGACCUUCAAUCUGAAGCCGAAGGUGGUCGACGGGCAGCACGCGGACUGCGGGGGAGCUAUGGUGAGCAAGCUCCCAAAUGCAAUCUGGACCAAAGGGGCCUUUGUGGAUACCAACAAGAUAUGGCAGCAGGAGUGGUUCUACAUCACCGAACCCCGCGAUGCCAAGUGGGCAUCCACGCUCGAAUUUAGAUCUGGACACCCAUAGAGGCUCACCUCAUGGACCACCAAGGGCCUUUAUUGGGGGUCUCAGACAGAGGUGAAGACGCUCCAAAACCGCAUCUCCAGCAUGAUGUCGAAGGGCACCCACCUCACCAACGUGAUUCAGGUGAUGCUCUUCUGUCGCACCCUUCCAUGCCAACUCCGGGCCUCCCACUUAUGGGAGUUUUAUCCGGAGGAGCCACGGACCUUGAAGCACUUCUUCGGCACUACGCACGAAGACAUAUGGAAGCAACUUUUCAAGGCCCAGAAGGAAUGGCCAGAGGAGACCGAAGACAAGGGCUUCGACAGCGUGACUUUGGCCUUAGAGGUAAGCACAAUUUUGUCGAAUACGUAUCUUGUCCAUAUUUCAAUUAUGACAGGAAUUAGAACUCUUAUGUUCCAUUCAGGCCUGGACGAAGAAAGCGGAGCGGAUCAACUGUCUGACUCCGUUGCCCGAAAACCCAGCCACGCCCCAACUAACGGUGAUGCUGGUUCUGGCGCCGUACAAGGCGCCGGAGAAGAAGGCCAAGAAGAAGGGCAAGGAGGUCAAGAGCGGCCCCCGCCCUAAGGGUCUUUCGGAUACUGUGUCCGGAGAGACCGACGCCCACUCCUCCCAUGAUGAAGAGGAAGAGGAGGAGGAGGAAAGCGAUUCCCCCCUCAAGGGAAAGGGGAGGGAGAGGGCGGCUCCCGAAGACGCGGGAAAUGGGGCGCCCAGGAGGAAGCUGAACCUCCCGGGCAGCUCGGACUCGGAGUCCGAAGCUGAUUUCCGAAAGCAACCCAGGAGCAAGCCCCUGGCCAAAUCGUAAGUGUUCGGACUUUUGCUGUUAUCUUCGGUCAGUUUGUUAUCAUUGCAUAAGCAAUUCUAUUUGUUGUUUUGCAGUCCUCCCCUCACACUCCCCAGCACACCAUUAUCGCCAGGGAGCUCUCUGCCAACUGACAUGGCGGAGAGUGACAUGCCGCCACAAGCUCAAUCGCCCAUCAUACAGGGAACACCGAGGUGACUUCCCAGCGGGUGUCUCCUGCGCGAGGAGGUGGGAGUGGGGCGGACGAGAGGGUGCCCGAGGUCGACACCUCAUCCACCGUAUGCCAAGGGGAAGCAGUCCCUAUGGCAACCAACGACGGAGAGCCCAAGCAAUCCGAGCUCCCACUGAACACCGUUCCGGAGGCCAGCAUGGCUCCGGAAUCGGGAAGGCAGCCCCCUACGAUAGGGGGAGGAGCAUCAGCUCCAACGGCGUCCUCCAUUAAUCCGGAGGCGCCGAACACGCUGGAGCAAGCACUGCAAGGUGCUUCCAUCAUGGAGGAACACCGCACCCUAAUGGGUGCGGUUAUGGGAAAGAUUCAGUCUGCCAAACGUGGACUGAAUGAAGCCUUCAACGGCAUACUGACAGGCUUUGAGGUAUGCGACGCAAUACUCUAAAAGAACUUUACGUUUUAUUUGUAUAGGAUAACAAACCUGUAUACGGAUAGUAGCCUCUGAUGCUUUGUCUGAUUCUAAAGAGAAUCGGACAGAGCGUCCACGUAGUACCAGCUAAUAGAACAUAUUGUGCCAUUUUUUGUACAGGCUUCCCUCAUAGAGGCAUCCGCCCAGGCCACAGAGGUUUCCAAGCUCAAUCGGAAGCUUCAAAUAGCUGACGCAGAGCUCGAUCGCGUUAACAAGCGAUUUGAUGAAACGCAAGGUAUGCAGACUUUCAAAUAAUUAUUAUGUCAAAUGACUAUGUGUUUGAUUGUAAGAGUACAAACUCAUUGUGCGGUGUGAUUAUGUCACAAUUGGCGCAGCUAAGGUCGAGACCCUCAAAGGCGCUCUUGCACAGGCCAAGAAGGAGGCCGAGAUGAACAAAGCAGCCACUGACAAAGUGGUUGCCGAGCUAGAGGCCGAACAUGUCUCCCGUCAACAACAUGAGUCGUGGGUGGCCGAAGUCAAACAAGAGCUACGAGACGCCAUCCGCAAAUGCAAGGAGUGGGAGCAGAAGACUUUGGACCAAGCAUCCGAACUCAAUAAGGCUCUUGAUGCCGCCAAGGAGGCGCGGAGUGAGUCUCGGAGUGCUCGCGAGGAGAUCAAGCAGGCGUGGCUGGUAAGGCCUUUCUUCUACAGAGUAUCUUUGGAGGUCGGAAGUAUGUGUCGCUGACGCAAUUGUGGAGUUCUCCAGACACGUUUGCGGAUCUCCCGAAGAGUAUUGCCGCCGUCACCGAAUUCUUCCAAGCCCAGGAGGGGAAUAGCACGGAGAAGCUGUUCUGGUCGCAAUUCCUUGCGCCAGAACAUCCAGUACCUCUGAACGACCAUUUGAAGCAGCUGGUCGAGCUGCACAACAUGGCGGGUGCAGCCAUGAAGGACUUGACAGUCCGGCUCUGGCCCGCCGAGCCGAUCCGAGUAGCUACUUUGGAUUGGUGAAGUGAUUCGUCGAUGCGAGGCCGCGGGUCGACGCUGUGAAGCGUUCGACCUGUAUAGAGGGUGCACGAAUGGCCUUUUCCCGCGUCAAGAUGCACUGGGGGAAGAUGAAGGCCACCAAAGUGGCAACCGCCGGCCCGCCCGAGGGCAAGGAUCAUCGGAGGUCGCAGAGGUACUUCGAUGACGUCCUAGAAGGAGCCCGUAUUAUAGAGGGCCAGUGCUCAAAGGACGCGGCCUUUGAGUAAUUGUAUUCAGAUUGUAAAGACUAUGCUUAUGAACCGAUAUGUAUAUAUUUUUGUGCCUUAUGUUUCAAGUGACUUUUCCUCCUGUGUGGCUGUUUAUUUUAUAUCUGAAAGUUUCCAGUCGUCGGCUUCAGCCCCCAUGUAAAUGCUAUAGGGGUGUUCGGCACAACGCGUGACUACACUUUACCCAACGUCUUGGUCUUUAAAGGAGGUGUCCGCGAAGUGAACCAGGCAAACAAACUAUGUGGCUUUAUUUCUUUCACUUAGCCAUAGGAGUUUGACUGUGGGGCUAAGUACUAGCCCCUUGUGCGUGUGCGGCUACCCGAAUUACGGGCCUGCUCUACGCGGCUGGGUGAAGACCAGCCCCUCGUAUAACACGGAGUAGAUCGCUAACGAUCUAUAGUAUAAUACUAAGUCGACGAAUCGCCGACUAGUUCUCGCUUAUCAUGAUAGUCAGUUUUUGGCUUUACCUACUGAGGUACUUGACUGGAUGAACCAUAAAUACAAUCACAAUAGUUCUCCCUUUACUACCUUAGCCGAACAAUACGGAACGUAAGGUGGUAAGCACAGGAGCCGGGCAACCCAAGUAUAGACCCAAGACAUGAUUCGGAGCCGAUGGAUAUAACAGUAUAUCCGGGACGCUGAACAGUUCCCUAUAGGUGUCCGUACUUUGAAGUGUGCCAGGCGGGAUACAACCCCUGGUAUUAAAUCCAGAUUUGAGGCACAUGUGGCAAUCUGAGGUAGGGAGAGAACGCAGAUGGUAAUAAAAUAAACUUCAAACAAAUUGGAACCAAACUGCUUCUUUUAUAUACUGUUUAAUACGGCGAGCCGCAUGGUUACAGAUAAUGCCAAUAACAUCUUGGGCAUUUUACAUGCCAAAGAAAAAGGGAAGAAAAGUGAUAAAGGGAAAGGUUUACACAGAGCCUAAAAUUAAUGAUUUAAAAAUCUCGAUGGAGGCCCUGCUGCACGUCUGCGUCGUUUCUCCUUUAUAACACGUCCUUGAAUGGGAGAGGUUUGAUGGCCGCCUGCGAAAAAGGAAGGAGAACUCUGAAAAAGAAUGCCCUGCACGACCAUAUAUUGACACCAGGAAAAAAUUGAAAGGAAGAAGAGGCGACGAAUAUCGUUUUAUCCACAAAGGUGAUACGUUUCCCUAACGGAACCAUGAGGCUUUCUUGUGAGAAGCUUAUACCACAACCUCCCUCAAAUGGGACAAUAUUUUUUACCCCAGCAUGUUGAUGUCAUUCCAUGAUAGCAUGCCAAGGUUCAUGAAUUUCAGACAGGUUUUGGAUUUACUAGAAUUACAAAAGCAUGUACCUCAACAUUUGCCAGAGAGCCACAGUGCCGUGGUGUUCGAAAUUCAUCCCCAUUUCUUGCAUGAGACAUAAUCAUAAACCCAUGGACACAUAUAUGAUUUUACAACCCAUGUUGGUCAUCGGAGCAUGUGCAUGUGCUUUAAUUUUGAAUUGUGCACCUGAAAUGGCUAGAAAACCAAUUUAAUGUAUAAAAUGUCCAAACGAACCAUGAAUAAUCCCAUUUUUUAUGACACACAUAUAGUUGCAUGUUCACUGCAGAUAAAAGGUCUAGCAAUUCAAACACCGUCCAUUUCCACUGUGACCCCAUUAUGUAAUUCAAAUCAAGACGAAAAAUCAAGUAGAUCCCACACAGUUUAUUAUCACCAACCGUGUGAGAUCUAGCAUAAAAUAUCUUGGAGCACCAUCGGAUUAUAGUACGCAUACGGCUUACGUGAGAAGGUGCGACGGCUACAGUCCACAGCCCGCUCUGAAUAAGGGACCGUGUCUGAUGAAACUUUACGUGCUAGUUUUUUCAUUGAAGCGAUUCCAAAUUUUCGGCUUCCGCUGAAAUAUCUACCUCCCCGCCCCUUCCCCUUACCAAAAGCCACAUUUCCCUUGUUUCCGCCUUCCUUUCCAAGUUCAAACCUUCACUACUUGCUUGCAGCGCUGCCUCCUCGCCGACGACCCUCCUUCACGCUGCUCGGCCUCACCUAUCUAGGCAGGUAAGCCACACCCGACCCCCAUCCUCCUCCUCCUUCCACAUCCCACAUGCCCCAACCGUCGGUGCGAGCGCGACACCUUCCACCCAAAUCACCGAUCCCUCCACCAAAUAAGCACCGCCCUAAGCCAUGGUGCAUGCAGUAUAGCCAGGAUCUCAAGGAGCAUUUGGCAGUGGAGAAGCAAAUCGCGGCCGCACACGCGGAUGAGGUCGCGAUGGCUGCCAUUUGUGCCGACCCCCAGAUCUUGGAGGAGCACCUCGCCAUCGAGGCCACCGUUAACACCUCGUGCGCCGACGCCGCGACGCGGUUGGCUGCUUUAAACGACAUUUAGUGGCGUUUUCUCGAGGCCACCAUCGGUGCCUUCGACGAAGACUACGAUGUGUUUUCUCAGCGUGCACGUGCUUACCUCAUCUCGAGAGCCAGCAGGUUGGUGCUUGGAGCGGCUCAAGCAAUUCACCACUACGACGAGGGCACCCACGAUGCGGAGGCCCCGCCCUCUUCCAUCUCCAAGGAGCCAAUCGUCAUCGAUAUCUCCAACAAUGAGGAGUAGCUUGUCUUAUUACCUCACUAUAAGGACCCAUGUUCAGUUUGCUAGCUAUUGCCUUAACAAAUUCUAGUGAAUUGUGAUAUCUACUUUUACCAUGCAAUCUUCUGCUCUAGUGUAUAUAUUCUAUAUGUCGUGCAAUGUGGUGUCCAGUUAACUAUUUGGUUCAAAUGUGAUGUUCAAUUCUUCAGGGUGCAAUUUUCCAAGUUGUAAAGCAUGUUUGGUUUGGUUAACUGUCUGAUCUUCUAUUAGGAGUGUUAUAUUGUGCAAUGUGGUGCUCAGUUAAAGUUUGGUUCAUUUGUUGUGGUGUUUAGUUAACUGUUUGGUUCAAUUUUGCAAUGCGAUGUUCAAUUGUUGUGGGUGCAUUCUGUUAUUGUAUACCAUGUGAGAAACAAAUCGAAUUUGGCUGUACUAAAUACAUGAGAAACAAAUACAAUUGCUAUAUUUCCAAGUUGUUAAGAAUGCUUGGUUUGUUUAACUCUCUGAUCUUCUAUUAGGAGUAUGUUAUAUUAUGCAAUGUGGUGCUCAGUUAACGUUUGGUUCAUUUGUUGUGGUGUUUAGUUAACUGCUUGGUUCAAUUCUGCAAUGUGAUGUUCAAUUAUUGUGAGUGCAUUCUAUUAUUGUAUACCAUGUGAGAAAUAAAUCGAAUUUGGUUGUACUAAAUACACGAGAAACAAAUACAAUUGUUAUAUUUCCAAGUUGUUAAGCAUGUUUGGUUUGGUUAAUUGUCUGAUAUUCUAUUAGGACUAUGUUAUAUUGUGCAAUGUGGUGCUCAGUUAAUGUUUAGUUCAUUUGUAUGGUGUUUAGUUAACUGCACGUGCAUGGUCCGUUGUCUAAUAGCACAUUAUUAUGCAAUUGCAAGAACCAUUCUAAUAUUUAGGUUUUUAACAAUUUGGUCUUGCACAUGUAGGUCCCGCUGUCAGAGGUUUUGACCCACUGUUCGACCCUUUUUGCAUAUGGGGAAAUGAGUUGUCCAUGAAUAUCAAUCAAGUCAAGAAACUCAGAAAGAUUGUUAGGAUAAAGAAAUUAGCGACAAAAAACAACAAGAUCUUUGUCUACACAAUGAAGAAGACAUCAGUUCACUACAAGAUGGUACUAACUAUUAUGCCUUGCCUUUUUUAUUCAUUUGCCCCAUUUCCAAUAUAGAGAAGAUAUUUAGGCACAUCCUUGUUUCAGGCCUUUCCAAAGCAGUUCACUGAUGAUUACCUCUCAAACCACCUCUAUGGCCAGGAGGCGAGGAAGGUUUUCAUACAAAACCCAUGGUUCAAUAUUGAAGUUUUUCUGAAGAGGAUGAAGGACGGACAGCCAAUCAUCCACAUGCACUGGCCUAAACUUGUAAAGACCUUCAACAUGAAUGAAGGAUCAAUAUUCGCCUUCCGCUUCAGCAGUUUUCCAGAUGAGAUGCAUCUGUCUAUAUACCGUCUAUGAUGCUAAUUUCGAAAGGUUCUACAUGUUGCAUGUGAAACUUGGUGCUAGUGCAGUUGUGUAAUAGGGUAGGUGAGUGCUGAAGCUAUAUCAUGUUGUACUCUGAUGUAUUUCAAUUAUGAAAUCCUGCUUCCUUAAUAUGGAAAUGAAAUAUAUUAUGUGCUUAAUAUGAAUGUCAAUUAGAUUAAUAAAUGGAUUAUUAAUAAUAGGGAAAUUAGCCUACUAAUGGUGAAUUAGCCUGCUAAUUGGGUUUUGCUAUUACAAAAGGUUAUUGAGAAAACACUGUGGGCGAUGACCUCAGGCAACGCACACAGUUUCUAGGAAUAAACCAUGUUGGAUCAAUGAACAAUCACACACGACCUUCUCUUGAAAACUGUUUGCGUUAGGCCACCAUGCGCAAACGUUUACCACAUAAAAACUGUGUGUGAUGGACAACCUUUGCCACACAGUUUCUUCUACGCACCGUGUGUGUGAUGCAUUCAAUAACGCAAACGAUAAAAUUGUUAGUAUCAUGUGCAAUGGCAACACUAUCACAAACUAUUUAACGGGGAAAUUGUGUGUGAUGUACCUGUGAACGGAAACGUUUUUCCUUGGAACGACUAUGUGGGAUGUACAUUAAACGUUUAGCGGGGACUGACUGUGUGGGAUGUACUUGUGACCGAAAACAAUUUCGUGGGUAUAAUUGUAUUUUUAGCUCUACUAUACGUAUUUCAGUAUUUGAGCAAUUGCCGGUCGCACACGACCUCAAUUUGCCGAGCGUGUAUGCCAGGAGGGCAUAUCCCCGACGGUUUCUGGGUCGUGUGGGAAGGACCCCCUAUCCCCGUCACUCACUAGGCGACGGUUCCAAAUGCCGUCGCGGAAAGGGCUCAAAAACCGUUUAUAUAGCACCGGCGCGUACCAGUGAAGGGUGAUGCUAAGAUAUGGUUUAAUUCUCUUGCUCCUAGUUGUGUGCGUAGUCCCCCAGGAUAUGAUAUAUUACUUCUUUGAAAUAUAUUUUCCUGCUCAUGAGAAACAAGUUGCUUUACAGAGAAUAUUUAAGUUUGUGCAAAUUGAAGAAGAGAGUCUCCCACAAGCUUGGGGGAGGCUUCUCCAAUUACUUAAUGCUUUGCCUGAUCAUCCUCUCAAGAAAAAUGAAAUACUUGAUAUCCUUUAUAAUGGACUAACCGAUGCUUCUAGGGACCACCUAGAUAGUUGUGCUAGUUGUGUUUUUGGGGAACGAACUAUUGAACAAGCUGAAGUACUAUUGAAUAAUAUAUUGAGUAAUGAUAAUGAUUGGACUCUUCUUGAACCACCUCCUAAGCCAACUCCGAAGAAGAGAGGUAUUCUAUUUCUCAGUCCUGAAGAUACGCAAUAGGCAAAGAAAUCUAUGCAAGAAAAAUGUAUUAAAGCUGAAGACGUUAUGAAUUUACCGCCUAUUGAAGAAAUACAUGGUCUUAAUAGUCCGACACAGGUAGUAGACGUAAAUUCUCUUUAUAGAUUUGAUGAAGGUGAUAUUCCUUAUACUAAAUCUGCUAGUCAAUGCUUGGAUGAAUUUGAUAACUUUAUUGUUAAAAAAGAAAACUUCAAUGCAUAUGUUAGUAGAGAGUUAAAACGAAAUGCCUAUAUGCUUGAACACUUGAGUGACUAUAUGUGUAGACCUGUUAAUGAUCUCAAGUUUGUUAGUAAACAUGCUUCCAUGGUAAAAACUCAAGUAGAACAGGUUCUCAAGGCGCAAAAUGAUUUGCUCAAUGAGAUGAACAAUAAAAUGAAUGUCCUGCUGUUAGAGUUAUGACUAGAGGUGGUAAAAUGACUCAGGAACCUUUGUUUCCUGAAGGCCAUCCUAAGAGAAUUGAGCAAGAUUCUCAAAAAAUUAAUACUGAUGCACCAAGUUCAUCUAAGAAGAAAAAGAAAGAUGAUAGGACUUUCCAUACUUCUAGUGAACCUGUUAUAGACAUACAUGAGAACCCAAAUGAUAUUUCUAUUUUAGAUGCCGAGACACAAUCUGGUAAUGAACAUGAACCUAGUAAUAAUGUUAAUGAUGAUGCUCAUGUUGAUGCUCAACCUAGUAAUGAUAAUGAUGUGGAAAUAGAACCUGCUGUUGAUCUUGAUAACCCACAACCUAAGAAUAAAAGAUAUGAUAAGACAAACUUCAUUGCUAGGAAACAUGGAAAAGCAAGAGAGCCAUGGGUUCAGAAACCCAUGCCCUUUCCUCCUAAACCACCCAAGAAAAAGGAUGGUGAAGAAUUUGAGUGCUUUGUUGAAAUGCUUAGACCUGUCUUUUGCGCUUAUGUUUGACUGAUAUUCUGAAAAUGUCUCCUUAUGCUAGGUAUAUGAAAGAUAUUGUUACUAAUGAAAGAAAAAUACCGGAAGAUGAAAUUUCCACCAUGCUUGCUAAUUAUACAUUUAUGGGUGGAAUACCAAAGAAACUAGGAGACCCUGGGAUACCAACUAUACCAUGCUCCAUUAAAAGAAACUAUGUUAAAACUGCUUUAUGUGAUCUUGGGGCCGGUGUUAGUGUUAUGCCUUUCUCUUUGUAUCGAAUACUUGAUUUGAAUAAGUUGACACCAAUUAAAAUCUCUUUUCAAAUGGCCGAUAAAUCAACUGCCAUACCCAUCGAUACUUGUGAGGAUGUGCCUAUCGUAGUUGCAAAUGUUACUAUCUUAACGGACUUUGUUAUUCUUGAUAUACCUGAGGACGACAAUAUGUCGAUCAUCCUUGAUAGACCCUUUUUGAAUACUGCAGGGGCUGUUAUUGAUUGCAACAAGGGCAAUUGUCGGUGUGAAAACCGGUGGAUCUCGGGUAAGGGGUCCCGAACUGUGUGUCUAAGGCGGAUGGUAACAGGAGGCAGGGGACACGAUGUUUACCCAGGUUCGGGCCCUCUUGAUGGAGGUAAUACCCUACGUCCUGCUUGAUUGAUCUUGAUGAGUAUAUGGGUUACAACAGUUGAUCUACCACGAGAUUGUAAUGGCUAAACCCUAGAUGUCUAGCCUAUAUGAUUACGAUUGCCUCUACGGACUAGACCCUCCAGUUUAUAUAGACACCGAAGGGGGCUAGGGCUUGUACAUAGUCGGCUUACAGAGAAAGGAAUCUUCAUAUUCGCACGCUAAGCCUGCCUUCACGCCAAGGAGAGUCCCGUCCGGACACGGGGAUAAUCUUUCGUCUUGUAUCUCCACGACCCAUUAGUCCGACCCAUAUCACAAAGCCCGGACACCCGAGGACCCCGUAAACCUGGAAUCCCUUAGUAGCCCCUGAACCAGUCUUCAACGAUGAUGUGUCUGGCGUGCAGAUUGUCUUCGGCAUUGCAAGGCGGGUUCCUCCUCCGAACACUUCAAAGUAGUUGAGCACCAGCACUAUAUCCGGUUUUGUACAAUAGUCACAAUCCUCAAACAUAAAGGUAAAAUGCAGAUAAGUUCCGUCUUCUGAUGAUUUCACGGAUGAGAUGCUACAUCUAGCCGUUUUAUUACUUUAGACUGUUUUUUGGCCUCCCGUUUUGCGGUUCGAGACGCAACCUUCGGCGACACGUCUUGUCAAAGCAGAGAUCGUUCCCCCUUAUUACGAGAUUCUCAUGAAUACGAGUUUUGGUAACCUAACUGUCACUACAAAAAAGAGACAUCCGUGACAUUUUGGGCCGAACGAAUUUUUUUUCUGUCAUACAUAUGACACUUCUAUGACAAUAAUUGUGACAAAACCCGGUAUCAUCAUAGAUGUGGUGGGCCCCUAAUUCUAUGACAAAAAAUCAUGACAGAAAAUGGGCUUUUCGUCCUGGGUGUGCCGGAGACGCAGCUGCAUGACAUUCUUUGGGCCGUCCAUGACGAAAAAAACUGUGGUAGAAGCGAGGGGGAGGAAAAUUUCGAGGAGUUCCCGGUUAUGGUGGGAGGUCAGGGGCCGAGCGAUGCGCGCUUCUCUCGUACACGUACGCGCGUGUGUGCGAGGCGUUGGCUCUAACUGAACCCGAGCGAUUGCACUGCAGGCUAUGCGUUACUGAACCCGAGCGAUCGAUCGAUGGCUGUUAACUGGACCCGAUCGAGCGAUUCCUUCGCUACUGCUGCUAACUGAAGCCGAUCGAUGCUGCCUCUGGAUGAAUAGUGAGCAUUGCGGAGGGGGGGGGUUGGAUGAACAGUUCCCGGUGGGGGUGGAUGAACAGGACCCCAUGGUAUUGCCUCUGGAUGAACAGGACCCCGAUCGAUCGAGNNNNNNNNNNNNNNNNNNNNNNNNNNNNNNNNNNNNNNNNNNNNNNNNNNNNNNNNNNNNNNNNNNNNNNNNNNNNNNNNNNNNNNNNNNNNNNNNNNNNNNNNNNNNNNNNNNNNNNNNNNNNNNNNNNNNNNNNNNNNNNNNNNNNNNNNNNNNNNNNNNNNNNNNNNNNNNNNNNNNNNNNNNNNNNNNNNNNNNNNNNNNNNNNNNNNNNNNNNNNNNNNNNNNNNNNNNNNNNNNNNNNNNNNNNNNNNNNNNNNNNNNNNNNNNNNNNNNNNNNNNNNNNNNNNNNNNNNNNNNNNNNNNNNNNNNNNNNNNNNNNNNNNNNNNNNNNNNNNNNNNNNNNNNNNNNNNNNNNNNNNNNNNNNNNNNNNNNNNNNNNNNNNNNNNNNNNNNNNNNNNNNNNNNNNNNNNNNNNNNNNNNNNNNNNNNNNNNNNNNNNNNNNNNNNNNNNNNNNNNNNNNNNNNNNNNNNNNNNNNNNNNNNNNNNNNNNNNNNNNNNNNNNNNNNNNNNNNNNNNNNNNNNNNNNNNNNNNNNNNNNUAUGCGUUACUGAACCCGAGCGAUCGAUCGAUGGCUGUUAACUGGACCCGAUCGAGCGAUUCCUUCGCUACUGCUGCUAACUGAAGCCGAUCGAUGCUGCCUCUGGAUGAAUAGUGAGCAUUGCGGAGGGGGGGGGGUUGGAUGAACAGUUCCCGGUGGGGGUGGAUGAACAGGACCCCAUGGUAUUGCCUCUGGAUGAACAGGACCCCGAUCGAUCGAGCCGGUUGGGGCUGGAUGAACAGGACCCCGUGGAGGGCUGGAUGAACAGGACCACCCCGUGGAGGGCAGGAUGAACAGUAGACGGUGGAGGGCAGGAUGAACAGUAGCCCGUGGAGGGGUGGCUGAACAGGAGCCCGUGGAGAGGGCUUGUUGAACAGUAGCCGGUGGAGUAGCGCGCGGUGGAGGCUGGAUGAACAGGAGCCCGUGGAUAAACAGUCGCAGGUGGAGGCUGGAGGAGGUCGACGGUGGAUGAACAGUAGCUCAUGGAGGCUGGAGGGGGUCGACGGUGGAGAUGAACAGUAUCCUGUGGAGUCCCAUUUUGCGGUACGCCACACCCCUCCCGAUGGACAGGACCCCCGUUUCGACUGUAGCGCUCCAACACAAGUCCGUUUCCUCCGUUUUGCGGUACGCCACACCCCUCCCGAUGAACUUGACCCCGUAUUGACCGUAGGAGAUCCGUUUCCUCCGUUUUGCGGUACGUCAGACCCCUCCCGAUCAACAGGAUCCCGUUUCGAACGUGACCGGUCGAACACAAGGCCGUUUCCUCCGUUUUGCGGUACGCGAGGCCUCGUUUCCAUCGCCUGUUCUGUCCAAGCCCUCCCGAUGAACACGACGCAUUGCGUUGCCUCCCCAUGAACACAACGCAUUCCGUUGCCUCUCCAUGAACACGACAACGACGCUGUUUCUCCGUUUCGACCCAGACAUGUACACAAGCCCUGGCCGUAUGUAUGCGCGAGUAGGCGUUCGAGACUCCGCCCAUAUGUACACAUACGUGGCCGUAUUUUCUUUCUUGCACCCUGGCCGCUGUACGUACAUGUACAUGCUACGUGCGCGCCUCUACUACGACACGUGCGCGCCUCUACAUCCACCAGUAUAUAUGUACGUACACGUUCGCGACCAGAAUGACAACGCUACGUAAGCUUCGACUAGGUGGGUCCCGACUGUCAGGCACUUCCUUGCGUGCGAAGAUGUAGCUGGUGGGUCCCAGCAGUCAGGGGUAAACAUUUUUUUCACGAAAUACGGUGGCCCGUCCGAUGGGUCCCCUCUGUCAGGUGGAGGAAUAAUUAUUUUGCACGUAAUAAGGAGGCACUUCCUUGCUGCGGCCGUGGACCCAACUGUCAGCCUCUCCACGUACAAUCCACGUCCGAUGGAAGCCGUUCCUUGACCACGUUGACCACGCCGCGCCGAGAGCACCAGGGCAUUGGACAACGGAGAGGCCUAGGAAGGGGAAGACGCGGAGCCGGGGAAGACGCGACAGUGGAUGCCCACGCGUAGAGGAGUACGAGGGUUCACUGGUUCGCUGCGGUGUGAGGCUGCCGUCGCCGCAGAAUAACAGGGGGUGUGGAUGAGUAGAGGGAUGGCCUAGCCGGCGGUGGGAGUAGUAGGGGGCGGUGAGGCCUCCGCCGCAUCGCAGCCGGCCACGGGAGGCAGGAGCACGAGGCACGACCGGCGCUGGUUUGGGCGGCUGGAGCAAGAAGACCAGAGGUUGAAGAAGCACUACGGCCGUUGGAUGGACAUUGUACGGUCACUGGAGCUAGAAUCAUGCAUAUUGACUAAGUUGACAAAGCCCUUCGUCCUGUCAACUUAGUAGGCCCACAAGUCAGCCUCCCACCAAGGUGGGUCCUAGCUAGCAGGGGGUAUUCAUUUUUUGUGCGUAAUAAGGAGGCACUUCCGGUGGGUUCGAGCUGACAGCAGGGGGAACGUUUUUUUUCGCGAAAUAUGGUGGCCCGUUGUGUGGGUCCCAACAGUCAGGGGCAAACAUUUUUUUCGCGAUAUACUGGUGGGUGUCCGGUGGGUCCCUGCUGUCAGUUGGAGGAAUAAUUAUUUUCUGCGUAAUAAGGAGGCACUUCCUUGCGGCUGUCGUGGACCCAACUAUCAGCCUCUCCACAUACAGUAUUCUUCCGAUGGAAUUCGGUCGUUGACCACAUUGACCACGCUGCGCCGACAGCACCACGGCGGUGGACGAUGCGGAGCCGGGGAAGACGCGGCAGUGGAUGCCCACGCAGAGAGGAGUAUGAGGGUUCACUGGUUCGGCUGCGCUGCUGUCGCCGCAGAAUAACAGGGGGUGUGGGUGAGUGGAGUGGAGGGAUGGCCUGGCUAGUGGUGGGAGUAGUAUGGGGGCGGUGAGGCCUCCGUGGCAGCACAGCCGACCACGGGAGGCAGGAGCAGGCGGCACGACUGGCGCUGCUUUGGGCGGUUGGAGCAAGAAGACCAGAGGUUGAAGAAGCACUACGACCGUUGGAUGGACAUCGUACGGUCAGUCGAGCUAGAAUCAUGCAUAUUGACUAAGUUGACAAAGCCCUUCGUCCCCGUAAACUUAGUAGGCCCACUAUACUGGGUCCCAGCUAGCAGGGGGAGUAUUCAUUUUUUUUGCUUAAUAAGGAGGCACUUCCUUGCGUGCAAAGAUAUAGCUGGUGGGUCCGAGCUGUCAGCGGCGGUAACAUUUUUUCGUGAAAUACAGAGGCCGUUUCGGUGGGUCCCAGAUGUUAGGUGGAGGAAAUCAUUAUUUUGCACGUAAUAAGGAGGCAUUUCCUUGCGUGCGGCCAUGGACCCAGCUGUCAGCCUCUCCACGUACAGUCCACUUCAGAUGCAUGUCGGUCAUUGACCAUGCUGACCAUGCCAUGCCGAGAGCACCAGGGCGGUGGACGACGGUGAGGCCUAGGAAGGGAACGACACAGAGGUAGGGAAGACCCGGCCGUUGUUUUUGUUUCCCACGCGGAGGGGAGUACGACUAUACGAGUGUUUACUGGUUCGUCUGCCGUCGCUGGAGAAUAACAACAGGUGUGGGUGAGUAGAGGGAUGGCUAGGCCAGCGAUGGGAGUACGAUGGGGCGGUGAGGCAUGCGCGGCAGCAUAACCGGCCGCGGGGAGGAGGGAGCAGGCAGUCCCGCCGGCACUUGUUUGAGCAGCUGGAGCAGGAAGAGCAGAGAUUGAAGAAGCACUACGGCCGUUGGAUGGACAUCCAACAGUAUACAUGCCAUCUGUGGAAAGCAUCAAAUCCGUGGAAAACAACAUACAUCCCAUCUGCCAUUAUUUCAAAUAAUUUACAACCCAUUUGCUAAUUCUUACUGGUUUUUUUGGAGCCCAUAUUCUUUAUGUUAGCAUUACAGCCCAUAUUGUGGCCACAGUUAAAAAAUUAUACGAAAAUAUGCAUAUGUCGGUGUGGUCUGAACUGUUUUUAAUCCCGAAAUUUUGAGUCACAUUCAGACUGAUUUAAAAAAUAAAUGUAUAUCAAUAUUAAAUCGAAUAAAUUGUCCAUGCAUAAAAAUAAAUGCAAUUUAAAAUCUCGAAAUGAAAAAAAAAAUAUUUGAAAAUAAUUGCCGGUUUGAUGUGUUUUAAAAAUGUACAACCCAUUUCUCAUUACUGAUAGGCCAUUUUCUUGGCCAGCCGAAUGAAGCUCUCCUCGUCUUGAAAGAUUUGCAGCCCAACAGGCCUGAUAAAGCGACUUACUUGACAAAUCACAAAAGAACUGAGCUAGCCAUUUUCAGAAAGAAAAAAACUACUAGGCUGGUCUUUGGUAAACAUAAAAGAAAAAGCUGUCUAGACAUGCCAGAGUGUCCUGCACAGCCCAAUUGACACCCUGCUUCCGUCUCAAAAACAAAUUAGAUAAAUGCCACUCCAAUUAUGGCGAUUCGUAAAAAUGCCACUGCAAUUUCCAAACUUUGAAAAAUGCCACUGCAAUUUUUGCAAACUUUGAAAAACGCCACUCCAGACUUCGAAAAAUGCCACUAGAAAUGGCAUGAAAUGGCAUUUUUCAAAGUUUGGAAAUUGCAGUGGCAUUUCUCGGAUGCACCAGAUUUGGAGUGGCAUUUAUCAAAUUAACCCAAAACAAAAAUAACUGGGCGAGCUGCUGGGUCCCUGGUGUCAGCCGCUCGUUGUGCAAUUCUCUCGUUUAUUGACUACGUUGACAAUGGCAUGGGACCCAGAUGUCAGAAAUCCACUAGGAGGAGCUAUUUUUUAUUGGCUUGAAAUAAGGAGGCACUUGCCUGCGUACUGCCAUGACCUUGGCGGGUCCCUACUAUCAUCCUCUCCACGUACAAUCAUCUCCUGAUUGUGUACGCGUCAACUUGCUAGGCCCACAAGUCAGCCUCUAAACCGUGGAGGACAAAUACAACCCAUUUAAAAAAAUAACAGCCCAUUCCAUACGUUCAAACGGAAAGUUCAACAUUCAGAGCAAAGUAACAGGUCUGAUCCACAUAUAGAGUACUGAAUUUCCACGUUGACAACCAUCAUAGCCAAGUUAACUAUCUACUCCCACUAACACUCUAGUAGCAUACAAGUACUAACUUACUCUUAGCUAACUAGACGAUGUCGGUCGCCAUCUGCUGUCCAUGCUAAACGCCGGCACCGGCGUCCUCCGCCUCGCCUCGGACUUGCCAGAGGUGCGAUAGGGCGCGUUGCUCAUGCACGUUGGCCCUUUCCAUGCCGGUGUGGUCCACCGAAGCUUCGACUUCCAAACGGGAAACCCACUUGACGAGCUGGUAGUAAAAAUCAGCGUCGCGAACGCGUGCGUGCCUGACAGCCUCCAGGGCUAUUUGCCGGGCGCCGGCCUCCACGUAGUCGGCCCAGUUGCGGGCGCUCUGCUCGCGACUCAGAGCGUCGGUGCGCUGCUGCUCCAUGUCCCGCUGGUGGCGCAAAUCGGUGAUACACUGCUCCUCCGCCAGGCGGUCACGCUCCAACAACUCCUGCUCCUCCGCCAUGCGGUCGCGCUCCAACAACUCUUCGAUCUCCGCAUUGCCAUCUAAAGACAGAUAGAAUGCCUCCUCCCUCCGUCUGCCUUCCGGUGAAAACCCGAACACUAGUUCCGGCGGUGACCGCCUCCGGCGUCGCCUACGCGGACGGGCGGGGGCAUGGCAGACGUGGCGAGCGACGUCGGGCCGGUGGGGGCUUAUGAGGAUAUGGCGAGUUGGGUCAUGGUGGCACCUGAGAAGGCAGAGAAACAGUACUUAUAGGUAGAAGGUAGCGCGACGGUCAUCGGAAUUCAAUGCGUAAUGGCUUAGCGCGCCAACUUGCCGUGGAAAACUAGAGAAACUGAAAUUAUGACUAUGCCGUCCCGUCCCGUCUGGGUCGCACGCCGGCAUGGUGGUCAAACGAGUGCACGCGAAUCAUCUCCCUCCUUGUCAAUAAUGAUUCCACGGAUUUAAAGCGUAUAUUUUUUUGCAUCAGUUAGCUGCCUUAAUUACGACCGGCUGCAUGCAGGCACUCAGAACCGCUCGCAGGCAGUAUGCGAAGCAGCAUGCAACGAGUCGCAGCCGAGGGCACGCAUGCAGCCACUUAAAUCGCUGGAAUUAAUUAGGCUUAAACUUCUGCAUGCCGUUAAUUAUUGCCAUGCCUUGGUCUUGCUGCUUUGCUCACAGGACUAAUAAAUCCCGGACGGAGGGAGUACCUUGGUUGGUGAGAGGUUUGAAUUAAGCCCUGCAAACCGGAAAGGAGGUACUAGUACGUGCGUGAUCCGCUAUUUAUUCGUGUAGGAUCGAGUAGGUUGUUUCUUGAAUUGAGCCCUGCAAACCGGAAAGGAGGUAGUACGUGCGUGAUCCGCUAUUUAUCCAUGUAGGAUUGAUAGUGUAGCUUGUCAGUUUCUUCAGAGGUAGGCAUUUUUAUCCGUGUAGGAUCGAUAGUGUAGCCUGUCAAUUUCUUCAGAGGUAGGCAUUUUUAUUCAAAAAACUGCCACUUCGCAUCUUGCGUCGCAAAUAAAACUGCCAGGAACACAUUUGUAGGCUAGCUAGUGAUCGAUCAGUAACUUGUAAACACCGAGCAAACAGAAAUAAGUAACUGUUAAUGCAUCUCAAUGAUUCACAGAUCAUAUACAAAUAUGUAGCUCCAAAAGCAAAGAUCAGCCACUUUGGAUCUUGCGUCGCAACUAAAACUAACUAGUACGAUUCCCAUACAUAAGAUCAACAUGUUAAUGCAUCUCGAUGAUUCACAGAUCAUAUACAAAUAUGUAGAUCCAAAAGCAAAGAUCUAGAAAAACAUUUGUUCUUCCUACUAACAUGGAUGCUUCUCUUGGCCAACAUUCAAUACAGACUGAAAGACAAUUUUUUUCGUGAAGUCUACAAUUCCUCUUGCAAACGUAAGUGGUUUCACCAACAGCUGGAACCAUGAGAAUGAACCACACAUGAUGGAGGAACAUCCACUGCAAUAUGAUUUGGUCUUCUCUCGAUCACACGGCGAGACUAUUUUGGGAAUACAAACUUUAACUUAGGCAAAAUGAUGCCCUUUGUAUAAUCAGACCAAAGCAAUGAAGCACCUAGUGUUGGCCAAUAAAUAGUACAGUACUACUUUUCUGCAGUCCAUGAAGUGACUAUCCAGUCUUUCUGUGUCUAUUUUCAAAUGGCACUGCAUGCAGUGACUAUACUAUUCUAUUGUGUAGUUCAACCAAAAUUGCGGGCACUUUGUUUGUUUGCCAAAUAGCAACGGACAGACAUCUCUGUCUGCACAAAUAUCAAGCAGCUAGUAAACAUAUACCACACCUUGUAUUUUCGGUUUAAACAUGUCUCUUCCGCUUAGCAUUUGUCAUGUUCUGCACUGGACAAUUUCAUACAGUUAUGUUUUGCCCUGGACAAUUUCAUACUGAAUUGAUUUGCUGGUUCAGAGCAGAAAUAUAGCGCCUAUUCUUCAUCAGACCAAGGAUAUCCAUGUUCGUAGUGAUGGAAGAGGUGAAAUCGAUACAACCAAAAUUGAGCAUCCAAUCAUUGAAUCCUGUCCUGCACCUCCAAUGUAGGUCCACCCUGCCAAUAAAUUCACAUGCAAACCACUAGUAUUACUAUCUAAUGAUAGUACAAAAAGAGUAGCAAUAUAGUAGCAAACCAUGUAACUUCGUAAUGAACAGCUCAUAGUGCCACCAAUUGGAUAUAAAGGUUUGGAAAAAAACAUGCUCCUAAUGUUGAACCAGUUGGACUUUUUGUGCAGUUCCACUAAAAUCGAGCAUCCCUGUUUGCAUAGAUAUCGAAAGUAUGAUUACUCUAAAAGUGGCACUAGUUGAAGCAUAGACUCACAAAUAUAAGCAUUCCAAUUUCUUAAUGGGAAAAGGUAGCAAGACUGUUUCUAACCACCUGUUUGAAGGAAUAAAUAAAGCAACAUUGGCUGAUGUCAGGAAGGCAUACAUAGUUUUUUCUAGAAAAGUGAGCCAUUCCUGACCUUUCCUCUUCUUUUAAGCAAAUUUUGUGUAGGUCUACUAAAAUAAAAUUCCAUCACCGCCUUGACAAUUCAUUAACACUGUACAAAAGGAAAUGACUUAACAUUACAUCAUGAUGUCAGGUAUGUAGUCGAUAGGCAUUAGAGACAAACAUACAAACCUCCUCAAGAGAACAGCCGAAGGAGGUGCCCACUCUUGACCUUUCCUCUUGUCUUCAUAAUUGUCUGUGCAGUUUAACCAAAAUAAAAUGACAUCAACGCCUUGGCAUUUUGGUGACAUUGUACAAAAAAAAUUAACUUAUCUCAUGAAAGUGAGGUAUGUAAUCUAUAAGCAUUAACAGUGCAAAAAUCUGAAGGUAGUAACAAGUUUCAUCGUUGGUAUACUGGCUGUGCAACAGCAUUAGAAUGCCUUAGUAGAAAAAUCUUUAAUACAUCCAUAAUCAAUAGCUAACCCUGAAAUAAUCCAGUGACAUUAAAUGACACUGCUUAAAUUUAUGGGUGGCAUUAGACUGAGAGCGGCAUUAGUUAAAUGUGGCAUCACUUUAGCAGUAGCAUUGCUUGACUUGACUGCUGGCGUUAUACUAAUAGCAAAAAAAGUGGCAAUAAGAGCAUGGGAGGCCCAUUCGUACAAUGGGCGCACCAGUACGAUGUACCUCCAUGGACGCAGAGUGGUGAGGGAGGUAUGGUUGCCCAGAGCAACAAAUAUCCAGGCAUCAUAUAUGGAUUACGUCCCAUUUUUGUUCUCUUUAGCCACCUUUUUCCUAUGCGAGGACAACAAACCGAUCGACUUGGUCAUUCUCUAUUGCGUUGUCAUGCCUUUCUACCCUUCUUCAACCAAGAGACACGAGACUCGUUCCUUAGCUACUGAUUUUCCCCUUUUCAACCUAGAUGCGGGUUCGAUGCCUACUCUCUUGGACAGUACAGUCUCCCUUCCUUUCCUUAUUCAACCCAGACAUGGAUUAGUCUGCAUGAAGUAGGGUUUCCUUUAAUAGUGCAAAUUAUGGUUUUCGUCUGCGUGGCCAGCAGAGCAGAGGAUAGCAAAUUGGGAAGAUGGUGGAGUGGAAAAAGAUCCACAUGCAACGACGUGGCAGAUGGGGCAAUAGAACAAGGUUAUGGUUUGAAAAGAGGUAGCAUACUUGAGGGUUGGUGGGAAGUGGCUUUGCUCGUGGUUGUCGUCCUCCGCACACACUACGGCAACAAGCUUGGGGACGGAGGCCAUCCCGCGCGGGCGCUAGGUCUGAGAGGAUGGCCUUGUCAUCAGUGCGUGACCUCGCUCGCUUACGACGAGUGCGUCAACGCUGCACGUCCUUUUCUUCCCCGGCGGAUCUGUGACCACCGGUGAGGAGGGAGAGAGGGCCCGUCUAUUUUAGAUCUGGAGAGAGGGUGGUAGUGUGAGAAGCAAGUGGGCACCCCUUAGCAAGAAAGCGCUCAAGCUCCAGCCUAUAUAUCUUUUUUAUACUACUAGUACUGGAGGUGGAGUAGUGGUAGAGUAGUUUAUAUUUUCUCCGCGUACAGUACCAGUUAGUCGUGCUUCAAAACUGAUCAACACGCCAUUAAAAAAUAAAGGUCGAUAACUAAUGCGGCACCUCGGGCCAACGCGGCCAAAUCACAUUUUGCACGAGAAAUUACACACCAUGUUUCGUUGACAUGUGGUCCCGUUCCAACAUAUCAGUGAGACGACAGCAAGUAGUAGGAGUAUUUCCGAACGGACGUGUAGGCCGAGGUGCCUCUUCGUGAACCGUGGCAAACUCGCAACCGUUCACCGACUCUUCACCUUUCCCUCUUGAUUUGGAACUGCUGUCGCACGCUCUUCCUCUCCCACCUCCAUUUUCCUUCAGCCCUUCACCCUUUCUUCUGCCAUUGUUCGAUCGCCUUCUCCAUGGAGGGAACAGGCCGUAAACGACCCUGUUAUUCUUACCCCGAUCUAAAAUAUGACGUGGUGGAGGAACUCAUUGAUCGGUGCGACGUCAUCACCUCGGCUAGCAUGGCAGGUUCGUUCAAGCCCAUUCUCGACUCAACUAAUAACAUCAUUACAAAGAACCCAAGAGUCAAGGAGCGGUUUGAUCUCCCCUAUCUUCUUCGCCGCGACCUUGAUGACUGGCAUCGGCACGACGGAGGCCUCGCCCUGUGCCAGUUGAUGCCGCUUGAUAAUGAUACGUAUGAUGUUAAGAUGCCAUCGUUUGAGGGCAAGGCUUGGGCGAGCGCAAAUGGAGAUUGGGUUGUUUACAUUGGGUCCAACUGCGAGUGGGAACUUGUGAAUGUGUACACUCGUGACCGGGUUCCACUUCCAAAAAUCUCAGCAGACUGCCCAGAGGUUGAGCACACCGGUAUUGUACGCACGUUCAAAUACGAUCAUGGUGACUGUCUUCUAUGGAAGAUAGCAAUUUUGCCGAAUUCGCAACCGCUCUUGGAAUUACAACAACUAUCAAGUUGUUGCUAUCUUCGACAAGCUUGUUGCCGUCCUUCGUGGUUCGACUCGAUGGAUAUUGCUCAAAAAUCAUUUUCUGUACACGGAUGAGUACUGUGAUGCAAUUCAAUACGAGGGCCUUGUGUUUGCUACCACCACUCGUGGCACUGUUUUUGAAUGGGAUCCUCGUAGUUUCGGUACAUUUGUCUUCCACCAUAAUAUUUAUAAUUGUUUCAUCCACAUGCAUGUGGGUUAGCAAGUUUCCCUUUACUAAUUAACCUUCUUCUUGUGUUUCCAAGGUCCUGUGAACAUCCCACCACCUAUACUUGAAAAAAUUUAUAACCAAGGGGGAGAUGAUGAUGGUGACGAUCACAAGCAUGAGGAUGAGCAGAACCCAUAUACUCAGUGGCGCCUGGCAACUAAUUCCGAUGGAUCACCUCUUCUUGUGUGUAUACAUCCCACUGAUGAUGUUACUACGAAGGAAGCAGGUGUAGUCUCUCAUGGUCGCACUCUCCAGACCUAUUCCAACACCCGUUGCAUGGUAUUCGGGAUGGAUACUAGUGUGCUAGUGCCAACUCCUUCUCCCUGGUACAGAACUGAUAGUCUUGGAGAAAACUCGCUCUUCCUUGGACAAAACUAUCUGAUGAUGGUGAAAGGCGAUCCAACUGCUGUUGACACAACGUUAACAGUACCAUUUAUGAGAAGCAACUGUGUAUAUACCUCGGACAUUUGGGUGGUUCCCUACCCUGGUACUGAUAUAGUAGCCCGCUUUAGCCUGGAUGAUCAGUCCUAUGUUGGUUUCCAGAUCGACAAUCGAUGGCCCGUCCCAGAGAAUCACUUGUGGUUCAAAGCAAGCGUUUCAACGCCGAGGAAUGGUUGAGUUGAAGUUCAUUUCAUUGCUUGUUAUUUGUUGUGUGGUGAAAACUUUAGUAUUUAUAAUGUAUCCUCGUUGUCGAUGUGGGUUGAUGACCUGUUGUAUGUAAUAAAAUGAUAUGCCUAUGAUAAACUUACUAAAUUGAUGAAUGGCUUUCGAGUCGCUUCUCUGAGUGAGUGGUGCGACGAGGCAAAAAAAUAUUUUCCGAAUACAUAAUUGUACGUGCAUUGCAACAGGUUAUCGGAUGAGGCCAAUCAACAAUAGUAGUACACUAUUUGUACUAGCUUCACAUGCUUCGCGCGUCAGGCGGGUGUUUUUACUGUAGCCAUAUGUUAAUGUGUUCGCUGUACGUAACCAGCACCUCGAAUCCUUGAUACUACUAGUAUAUAGUAGGAGUAAGUAGUAGGAGUAGUAGCAUGGCAUGGGCCAGAACAAGCAUUCAUGUCCAGGAGUACGGCACACGCCACCACCACGACAUCCAUCUGACACCAUAUUAUUUCUUGGAGUCCGUGCUAGAGCAAUCUCUUCAACCUCGUCGUUUCUCUAACUUCAGCCAUCGCGCGGCAGGCGAGGUGGGGGUUUGCCGAUAGUCGGUUUCCUUAACUACGGUCCCACUUGUAAGGCCAACUCCAACGCACGACCCCAAAUGCACCUCCGUUUUGCACGAACUCCAACAAUUAUUUUGACUAGAAAAGCAAGACCAAAGAAAACAAGAACCACAAGAAUACAUUUUACUACUCCUGUAUGUUGGAUUAGUGCCUUCUCGAUGCAUUCAUUGUUGAUCUGUGGAGGCUCGAUCUUGCGUCUGUGCUAGCUAAAAGUGAUAGAACAUCUACUAAAUUGCGCUCUAUCAGUAUAUGGAUGUACUCUUCUUCCCAAUACAAAAACUUGCAUCCAUUCUACUCCCUCCGUUGCACAAUACAUGCCUUCUAUUUGUCAAAAUAUAUAUGUAUCUAGACAUGUCUUACUUUAUAGGUACAUCCAUUUUUGGACAAAUGGAAGUCAAGUAUUUUGGAACGGAGGGAGUACAUAAUAAAUUUUUUAAGUUAGCACAACUAGUCUAAUCCGAGCGCAGAACCGAAGAUUUGGUCGGGUUCUUCCUCCUUUUGCCGACACGUGGGACAUCCAGCAUCCAGGUCGUGUCAUGAAAGAAAAUAUAGUGGUAGUUGAAGCCACGAGAUGUGCAUCUUGGGUUAAACUGUAAAUAGAAUCUUACUACUCUUGAGUAACUCCAAAAGCGGCCACCAAAGAUCUUUAUUGGAUUUGUUUUUCAUCACCAGCACGUCGAGGUGAAAGAUGUGUAGGUUCAGUGGGUCCUCUUGCAUUUUCACAGACAUGUGGGGCCGCAUGUGAUCAAAUAGACGAUGGGCUCCGUGCAUCCGCUGGCUGGCUGAGAAGAGAGAUAGAGGAGGGCUGAGCAUGGACUGCAGGAAAUUUGUUCUACGUACCUCGAUAUAGGCUCGAUAUAGUGGGGUGGCAUGGGCCAUAACUAGCAUUCGCGUCUAGCAGUAUGGCACACGCCACCCACACGAGUCCCAUCCGACACCAAUUUUCUUGGAGUCCAUGCUACAACCAUCUCUUCUCCCUCCCGUUUUCUCCGCCAUCGCGCGGUGGGCGGGGUGGGGGUUUACCGGUAGUCGGUUUGCUCAACCGCGGUCCCUCUUGUAAGUGAAAAUGCAACACCGCACGCAUUCCCGCUUGAGCGGCGUGCCGGACCAACCGUGUGGGGGUGCGACGCGAACACGACAGGCUUUUCCUUUUGAACUCAUAACUUGUAAAAUUUGGUUCUGCUCCAUGGCGCAACCGAUAGAUAGAAAAUACAGAUUUUGCCUAGAGUAAUGAGAAGUUUGGUUCUGGCACCGUUCAUGCAUGGAGUACGUACGAAAAUUAUGAAGUUGAUGCGAAAGGUAAGAUAAUUAUUGUAGUAUCAUAUACUACUACAUGGAUUUGACGGAAAGAUAAAAAUACAUACGGAUCCAUCAACGUUCAACGACAUCCUCAUGCCCUAGUGCGCCGGUCACCAACCGAUGUGUGAGGAGCAGCGGCGUUGGCGGCGAGCUCAACGUGCUUCUGAACAGUGCCGUCCAAGGUUGCCCUGCCGCUCCAAGAAGGCCAGGAUCCUAUCGUCCUCCUCUUGCAUGUAGUAGUCCUUGUGGACGAUUUGCGCAUAGACGUGGGUGAUUAUGUCAAUGGUGUCUUGCUGCGCCAGGUGCUGCGCGGCGAGCGCGACCUCGAGGUGGACAUUCUCCGGCGCGACGACGGGUAGUCGCAGGGCCACCAGUGCAUCUAAGAGGUUGUUACCAUAGUUGCCGUUGAGGGUGGCGGGCAUCGCAGAGCCUGGGCGCAUCGGCUGGAGGCUUACGUCAAAGUCGUCCACAUGCUUUUUGACGAUGGUGAACUUGUCGAGGAAACCAACGAGGACCUCAUCGAACAAGGAGACGAAGUUAUCGUCCAAGAGGCCCCUCUCCCUGGCGGCCUCAAGAAAUACUACCUGGAGACGUUCCUCGGUGCCGGGCGCAGGUUAGAAGUCAAACUUUGGAAACUUUGAUCAGGUUUACGCAAAUGUUAUUUAUAUCUACAAUACCAAUGAUACAUCAUACAAAACUACAUCUCAUGGUGAAUCUAAUGGUAUAUGUUUGCCGUACUAGAUGUAAUUCUUUUUCUCCACGUACAUGGUCAAACUUUGUGAUGUUUGACUUUUCAAUAAAUCUAUAUGCUAUGGACCGAGGAGAGUGCCUUAGUUGAGACAGAUCAAGUGCGUGUGAAGGAGAAUGAGUAAGUGUGCAAAAAGAGUAUGUGUGUGAAAGAGAAAGUGACAACAAACGAUAAAUUAGAGAGAGUGUGUGUUUUUUCGUUUCUUAUGCGAACAUAUCACGCAUGCAUCUCCGAGAUGAAAAAGCGAGGCGAGGAGAUACACGAAGAUAGCUAGUGUGUGAUUGUUUGCAACGGAGAGAGACACCCCUGUAGCACAUGUCCAAUAGAGGUGUGGACAACAAGGAACAAAUGUCGAGAGGGACACAUGGAUGGCAUGGGCGCAUGGGGAGGGAGAGAGGGUGUGUUUGUGAUAGAGAGAUCCCGUCGAGAUCGUGAGGGGACUAUAUGGGUGGGAGAUCGAGGGAGUGCGUGCGCGAUAGAAAGAUGCCCUGGGAGAAAUCGAGAUAGACCAUGCACAUGUUUGUGAUGGAGACUAAGAUUAGCUAGUCAUAUACAUAUAGGGGGGACUGCGUGUGCCUACAAUUGAGUGAGAGACCAUCAUACUUGGCUAGCUGGGCAUGAGAUUUUGUGCGUGCGUGCGUGUGAGAUGGAGAGAGAACGAGGGGGAGAGAUAGAGUUUUAGAUGGGCCUAUCGAGUGCGAGUGAGAUAUGCAUGUGUAUGUUUGACCCAGGUGGAUGGAGAGUUUGAGAGAGGGGGGGGGGAGAGCUUCGAGACGACAUUGUGGUGCGUGAGAGAGUUACAGGCAAAGAGCCAAGGAAUCUGUAUGCGUACGAUGAGUGCACCCAAGAUAUCUAGCUUGGACUAGCUAGAGUAUCAUACAUAGUGUGCGAGAGAGACCUAUAGAUGGUGUAUAUAUGCAUGCGAACUAGAAAGACCCCCCCACACACAAAGAGAGAGAGAGAUGGAGAGAAAGGGAGAGGGACGAACAAGGUUUUUGUGUCAGAUGCGUGCGACAGAAUUGAAGAUUGUCGGCGAGAGAGAGAGAGAGAGAGAUAGAGAGAGAGAGAGAGAGAGAGAGAGAGAGAGAGAGAGAGAACAUGAGUCCGGGAGAUGGGGAGGUCGCGUUUUAUGCAUUAAAGACUGAUAUAAACCAUGUUUCGAUAUAAACUUGCAUUCAAAUAUUUAAAUUGGAGAACAUGUUGUCUGUAAUCCACACAUGAACGGAUAUAUGCGUAUAUCAAACAAGUUCAUUAAUUUGACUUUCAACAUGUUCAUGGAGUACUAUAAUACUGUACAACAUGCUACUCGAUUGAGGUGUUCAAUUUUGGAUUUAGUUCACUAUUUUGACCUACUGAACGAGCUAUUUCAUUGAAUCGAGAUAUUUCAUUUUGGGUUUGAUUCGCGUUUUUGAGUGGGUCAACUAUUUGUCUUAUAGUAAAUCGCUAGCAACGAGCAUGUAAAAACACAUUACUCCCGAGCAUCAUCUCUCCAUCUAAAAAAGAAGUGGCAAGCUAAUAUUUCAAAAUUUGAUCCGAAUCGACUUGGUAAGGUAGACGUGGAUGCUCAUUCUCCCAAAAUUUGAACGAACCGUUAAACAUCCUCUCUGCUCGGUGGAAUUGGCCCGAGCAAAUAAAUGGGAGACGCGAAAUUAUCGUCCUAUGUGGGACACGCAUCAAUUGGCCCGUUGUACAUCGAGGGUAGGUUCGUAACUUCAUCCAAGCGCGCCUUCUCCUUGGCCGAAAUGACAUGUGCCGAAUAAUUCAUAAACCAUGGUCGGCAAAACACGCUCUCCUCGCCCGAAAUAGCUCGCGCCCACUAUUUCAAAACACACUCUCCUCGCCCGAAUUCGCUCGCGCCCACUAUAGUUCAAAACACGCUCUCCUCGCCCGAAAUCGCUCCCGCCCAGAGAAGCAAAGUUACUCUACUAUCCCCGACCCUCAGUACACAGACCCAAGCCGAGAAGCCUAUAGGCAAGGGUAGAACUGUAACUUCCCCUCACAUUUCAGACAAAUGCGUCCGUAAGACAUGGUUCCACUCCCCUCCCAAUUUCCCCCGCCCGCCCCCAUUCAUACCUCGUGAGCGCCAAAUCACCUUCUCCCUGGGAAGCUCCCUUCUCCCGAGCCGCGAAACCUCAGCCCCACCUCCAUGGCGCCCCCACCACACCAAUUUCACAGGCUCCCUCCUCCUUAAUGCCGGAGAUGCUGUCCAUUUGCCGUCGUGCACUGGGCCGUGUGCCUCUUACUCCGUGCUGGUGGUGCUGCCUCGACAACGGCCGCGUGAACUGUACCGGAGCCGAUUCACCCCUGCUGUUGUUCACGGCGCCGGAGCGGCUCCAACUUUGGAUCCGUCCAGAGUCCUGGCGCUGCUUCGGUGUAGCCUCGACCGUCGUGACAUCGCUAUUUCCCUGCCGCCGGUCGCCACCGCAACCGCGCCGGCCUCACCGACUCGGCAGCUGGACCUGCCUACUUCACCAUGCCACCAGAUAGGUCACACCCUCAUCUCAAAUCACUUUAUUUAGGCGUCCGUUGUCUGAAUUUUUAUUCUGGGCCAAUCGAUUUGCAAUGGGAAGCAGCACCCCUCGAGGCGGCGGAGCUCCUAGGCCGCCGGUUGGCUGGUGUCUAACGUAAGGGUGCGGGGCCGCAAGUUCGCCGUGGAAGCAGCGCUUAGAUGGCUAUCUUUUAGAGUUGCGUGGGUUGAAGGUACUGCCGCCGCCGGAUCUGGAUGACGGGGAGUCUUUGUGGAUUGGCCCGGGGGCGGCGCAACCAUGGCAGUGCGGUGGGGUGGGGAGCAGGGUUUUGGCCGGGGCCACGGACGGCGAAGGCAGGCUGCUGUGCCGUUGGUCGCUGGCUCUUUGGGGAAGAUUCCGAACAGUGUCAGCCGGGAGGCACAAGAUGGCCAGCCAUCCGGCGUAGAUCGGACAGUACGAAAAUAAAAUAAAAUCGGGUGACCCCAAUUUAGUCUUCAGUCAACAGACAGGUGACCACUCUCGUAGCUUGCUGUUGAUCUCUUGGUGUAUUUCUUCAGAUCAAAGAGAUAUGUCGUUCUUAACAUUAUGCGUUAUCUGCAUCUUCAGACACACCGUCUUCCGACUCACCGCAGCUGCUCCAACAAGGGAUGCAUACACCACAAGGGAGCUAUAGUCCCCACUCAACAGUUCCCUGCAUCGAAUGCGCGUGCCCGACAUGCACAGCCACAACAACUGCAGGGCCAUCGACAAGUCAGCACAUGAUGCUCACUCCUAUGGAUGGCAGCCAGAUAGGUUGUACCCUCAUCUUACUUGUGUGCAACAUUUAUGGCUUUGUUAUUCAUCUAAGCAUGGAAAAUAGAUCAUCACAUUUCACUGUAUAUUCAUGCUGAUCUCUUACGGGUCUUGUUCAGGAGUUAACGCUAUUCCAUAGUUCAGCUAAGAUACUUGUUCUUUAGGUAACACUGUUCCAUAGUUAUCAUCCAUCAGCCAAUGCUAUUCCACAGGCUGGUGAUUAUAGUAUUAUACCACUUCUAGUAUUUCCUAUGUUGUUCUUUAAUACUUUUGUGUGCCAUCUAGUUAAUCUCGAGUACAAACGAUACAUAUUCUGCAGCUUUCAUCUGUGUUCUCCCUUUAGUUUAUGAGACCUGUUGCUUCUAGUUAACCUCAAUCCUACUAUUUAUGCCAUCUCCUACAUGCACUCAUUACAUAAAUCUAACUAGUUGUCUUCCAUGCAUGUCAGAUAUAAUUGCACACACUGAUAUAUCCACAAGAACCUCACAGAGCAAUGUAAAUGCCAAUAAACUUGAUGUCAAUGAUACCCAAUAUGAUGGAACAUGUAAAGGCAGCUCUUCAGAAGACUUGCAGGAAGAUGAUGAAUCCUCUUCACCCCACAAGGUCCUUGCUCUAACUUGGCCUAUGAUAUGGGUACAACAUGCAUAUAAGGUCCUGGAGUGUAUCUACUCUGUUGCAAUGCCAUGUGCUUAGCAUGCUGAUCAUGCAUGUAAAUAUGUCACGCCUUCCUGUUUUUCAGUACCUAUUCCAUUCAUGAUAACAUGUUUUCAAAUUCAAGUACUGUCAUUCUACUCUAUCGCAAUGCCAUCUGCUUAAUUUGGACAUCAUGCUUCUGAAUAUCUUAUGCAUUGUUAUUCAUCAGUAUGUACUUCAUCUGUCUACCCUACCAUGUUUUUUUACAUUGAAGUGCUGUUCUAGUGCUCUGUUGCAAUGCCAUCUUAUUUUCCCAAUCAUACACGUGUAUGUUGCCUUAGUUAUUUCUGUAUGUAUUCCGCUAGCAUACAGUUUUACAUUCAACUAGUGUUUUUUUUGCUGUGUUGCCCUGUCGUAUCCCUAGCUCUUACACCAUACUCCCUUCGUCCGAAUUACAUGUUGCCGAAAUGCAUAAAAAAGGAUGUAUCUAGAACUGAAAUACGCCUAGACCUAUCCAUUUUUUUCCGGAUGGAGGGAAUACAUGUCAAUAUGUCAUGCCUUUCUAUUCUUCAGUACCUAUUCCAUCUCUCUGCUACCGCAUCUUUUAUAAUUAAAACACCAUUCUUCUAUACAAGGCAUGCAAGGGGAAGACGACUAUGUUAGAAUCUGAAGGGUUACAAACAAGGACUUUGCAAAAGAUCCAAAUGCUAGGAGAUAAUAAACCAACUCCAAUUUUUAUAGAUACUGCUCCAGCAUAGAGAAACCCAACUCCUACUGAUAAUAAGCAGAUUCCAGUGGCCAAAGAACUAGUCCGCUCCAGUCCAGCAAAAAUAUGUCAACUCAAUUCUAAGAAGCGUGUGCGUAUCCUUGCAUCAUGAAAUUUUAUAGCAUGCUGAUCAUAUUUUCUACAUGUUUCUUACCCAUCUCUCUUUUAGAAAAUAAGCUUAACAGAUAGAAGAUUUUCUGCAAUGGUAUCGUUUAUGAGGAAAGAUUCUUGCAUGAAUUCUCUGUGCUCCAAUGUAGAUGUAAGUACCUGCUAUAUAUCACUAUAUUUUUAUAUCAGCAUGUAUUUUGUUCAUCGGCGUGAAUCCAACCUUUAUAUGAUCUAAAUUUAGUUGUAGCAAAAUGUAUGAUUAAAGGCCACAAUGUUGAUUUUUGCAAGGAAAACUGCCUGGUAGUUUUGCAUCCUGAGCUGCAUGAGUGUACUAUCUCAUAUCAGUGGGUUUGAAUACUUUGGUUCUGCAGUGGGUUUUUAGUGUUUUUUACUGUGUUGUCCUGUCGUAUCCCUGGCUCUUACACCAUACUCCCUCCCUCCGGAUUAAAUGUCGCAGAAAUGGAUAAAACUGGAUGUAUCUAGAACUGAAAUACGCCUAGACCCAUCCAUUUAUUUCCGGAUGGAGUGAAUACAUGUCAAUAUGUCAUGCCUUUCUAUUUUUAGUACCUAUUCCGUCUCUGCUGUAGCAUGUUUUAUAACUGAAUCACCAUUCUUCUAUAUAAGGCAUGCAAGGGGAAGACGGCUAUGUUAGAAUCUAAAGGGUUACAAACCAGGUCUUUGCAAAAGAUCCAAACGCCAGGAGAUAAUAAACCAACUCCAUUUUUCAUAGAUACUGCUCCAGCACAGAGAAACCCAACUCCCACUGAUAAUAAGCAGAUUCCAGUGGCCAAAGAACUAGUCCGUUCCAGUCCAGCAAAAGAAUGUCAACUCCAUUCUAAGAAGCGUGUGUGUAUCCUCGCAUCAUGAAAUUUUAUAGCAUUCUGAUAAUAUUUUCUACAUGUUUCUUACCCGUCUCUCUUUUAGAAAAUAAGGUUAAACGACACAAGACUUCCUCCAUUGGGAUCGUAUUCGAGGAAAAUAUCUUGCAGGAAUUCUCUGUGCUCCAGUGAUGAUGUAAGUACCUGUUGUAUAUCACUAUAUAUUUACAUCAGCAUGUAUUUUGUUAAUCGGCAUGAAUCUAACCUUUAUCUGAUCUAAAAUUAGUUGUAGCAAAAAUGUUAAAGGCGCCAAUGUUGAUUUUUCUAAGGAAAACUGCCUGGUAGUUUUGCGUACUGAGCUGCAUGAAUGUGCUAUCUCAUAUCACGCACAUUACUGAAUUGUAGUGCUUCUCUGGUUGCCCAUUCAUUCAUUGUGUCAAUGUUGCUUUCGUAUUACCUUACCUGGCUGAUGAAAGUUGUGCCAUAUUGUGUUAAUUUGGUGUAGGCUAGUUGCCCAAACGUUCAUUGUGUCAAUGUUGCUUUCCUAUUAUCUGACUUGCCCAAUGAUAGCAAUGCUAGUGUGUUAAUUUUGUGCAGGCUACUGAAGAUAAGAAGAAAAACUCUGAAAACAUCAGGGCAACCCCAUUGUUUCUUUCUAGUAAAUCUAGGCCAGGUAAUAUGGCAAUAACUCAUGAUUAAUCUGUUUGGUUCCCAUCCUAAUUUAUGUUAUGAUGCAGUGGUCAAGACACUCUCCAAUAUCAAUAAUACAAGCCUGCCAAAAUCGCCAUCUGAAUCUGUUCAGUAUCCUUUGUCUCGAAUGCAACGGAAUAAAUGUAUGUUUAUGAACCAAUUAAUGGCUGAAGUAAUGAUGGAAAUGGUGGAUGAAGCAGAGGUGCAGAGUCGUGUGACACAACAACUAAUCAAUGUUUUCAGAGACAGUGUGACAAAGCAGCAAGAACUUGCCCACAUGCUUAUGGGCGUCAUCUGUGCUGAGGUUGCAGAUUGUGAUGUUGUAGAUGGUUAGGUUCUACUCAUUUAUUUGCAUUGGCAUCAAUCUUUGAUUGCCCAGUGGAUGUAAUUUCAUGUAAUAUAUUCUGGAUGUGCAACGUUAUUCCCUGUAUGCCGUACUUUUGCUCGUCGUAAUGGGCUCAAAUUAUCUAAUUUGGCCUAAAGACAUGAACGAACUUUAGUGGGCCCAUUAAGUUAAUGGGCCGUUACUAGGCCGAAAGUUAAUGGUCGGCCCUCUUACCUCCCGGGUUGUUAAUAGGCCGACAUCGAAGCGGGCAACAGGUGGCCCCAAUUUAUUUCAUGGGCCGUUAACAGGCCGUUACUAAGUUUGGGCUACAUAUGGCCCAACUAUACUAUAGGCCUUUAGCAGGCCGAAAGAGACAGCAGGCUUGUAUUGGACCAUGAAGAGCAUGGGCCGAUAAGAGGCCGAAAGUCAGGUCAUAUUGUAAACGACCCAAUUGUGUUGUGGGCCUUUAGUAGGCCGAAAGAGAAACCAGACUGGUAUUGGACCAUGAAGGGCAUGGGCCGUUAAGAGGCCAAAACUAAGGUCCGACUACAAAUGGCCCAACUCAUUUAUGGCCCGUUAACAGGCCGAAAGGCACACAGGGCCGGGAAUUGGCCCAACACUUAAAUGUGUUGCUAAAAGGCCAAAACUCAGGUCCGACUACAAUUGGCCCAACUGAUUUAUGGGCCGUUGUCGGUGUUAGAACCGGCGGAUCUUGGUAGGGGGUCCCGAACUGUGCGUCUAGGCGGAUGGUAACAGGAGGCAGGGGACACGAUGUUUUACCCAGGUUCGGGCCCACUCGAUGGAGGUAAAACCCUACGUCCUGCUUGAUUAAUAUUGAUGAUAUGGGUAGUACAAGAGUAGAUCUACCACGAGAUCGGAGAGGCUAAACCCUAGAAGCUAGCCUAUGGUAUGAUUGUAUGUUGUCCUACGGACUAAAACCCUCCGGUUUAUAUAGACACCGAAGGGGCUAGGGUUACACAAGGUCGGUUACAAAGGAGGAGAUAUACAUAUCCAUAUUGUCUAGCUUGCCUUCCACGCCAAGUAGAGUCCCAUCCGGACACGAGACGAAGUCUUCAAUCUUGUAUCUUCAUAGUCCAACAGUCCGACCAAAGGUUAUAGUCCGGCUGUCCAGAUACCCCCUAAUCCAGGACUCCCUCAGUAGCCCCUGAACCAGGCUUCAAUGACGAUGAGUCCGGCGCGCAGUAUUGUCUUCGGCAUUGCAAGGCGGGUUCCUCCUCCGAAUACACCACGGAAGAAUUUGAAUACAAGGAUAGUGUCCGACCCUGCAAAAUAAGUUCCACAUUCCACCGUAGAGAGAAUAAUAUUUCCACAAAUCUAAUCUACUGACUUGCUUUGGGAACAUGACGUUAUGCCAUGGCCCGGUGAUUAUUCGAACCGUUUCCUUUUACUAGCCCCGCACAUAACGCGAGGCAGUUUUUUGACAUGUCUUGUCAAAGCAGAGAUCGUGUCCCCUUAUCACGGGAUUCUAAUCAAUACGGGCGUGGGUAACCCAACCGCGCCAUCGAUUAUGGUGCUUGGGGGAUAAGCGAGUUUUACCAGGCUAGUGGGGACGCAUAGUUUCGUUCGCCCAUAUAAAGGGAUAAGGAUUCACCUUUUCAUCCACGCCUUAUUCCUCCUUUGCUCAUCCAUUUUCGCACACUCGAGCUCCAGCGCCCAAGUCCGCAUUUCUCACCUCGACCUUCCCCAACCAUGUACGGAGCGGGAGGCAAGUGGAUGGUCUCCUCCGUCAUGGAGGGACACAUCAAGAAGCUGAGGAGAGCUGGAUACCCGCCCGACGACAUCGCGCACCGGCUCCCAGAUGAGGGGCAACUCAUCCCCACCCCCAGGCCCCAUGAGAGGGUAGUGUUCCUUACCCAUUUCCUCCGCGGACUGGGAUUCCCUCUCCACCCAUUUGUCUGGGGGCUCAUGUUCUACUACGGCCUGGAUUUCCAUGAUCUGGCCCCGAACUUUAUCCUCAACAUCUCGGCAUUUAUUGUCGUGUGCGAGGCCUUCCUCCGCAUCAAGCCUCACUUCGGCUUAUGGCUGAAGACCGUCAAUGUCAAGCUGAAGGUAGUGAGCGGCCGCCAGGCGGAGUGCGGAGGCGCCAUGGUGGGUAAGAUGCCCAACGUCACAUGUCUCGAGGGCUCCUUCGUGCAGACCAUAAAGGGGUGGCAAUCGGGGUGGUUCUACAUCACUGAGCCACGUGACCCUAAAUGGGCAGCGGCCCCGAGUUCCGAUCUGGCAUCCCCACGCGGCUCAUCUCCUGGCAAGAGAAGGGCAUGUCCUGGGGUAGUUCGGGAGAGCUGACCGGAUUCAAAACAUGUAUUCAAAACAUGGUGAACAAGAAGCUCAAACUCGUCAACGUAGUCCAGGUCAUGCUCAUCCGCCAGAUCCUCCCAUGCCAACAACGGGCUUUCAACUUGUGGGAGUUCGACCCGGCCCAACACCGAACUCUGAACAGGCUCUUCGACACAACUCACGAGGAUGCCUGGAAGGUGCUAUUCAAGGGUGCCGAGGUUCCCCCUCCCACUACCGAGGAUCGCGGAUUCUGCGUGAAGCGCCAAGCCAGCGCGGUAAGCUAUUUUACCCCUCACAGGAUACUUGUUUUUCAUAGUUUGACUCUAUGCGGGAUCUAAGCUCCCGUACCUUUGACAGGACUGGCAGGAGACGGCCGGACAGAUUGACUGUUCGGCUCCUUUGCCCGAAGGCCCAGCCGACGCUCUUCUGACGAAGAUGCUGACUCCAGCUCCUUACAAGGUGCCGAAGAAGACCAAGAAGGCCAAGGGAACCCGAAAGAGUUCCCGAUGCCAGGCGUCAUCGGAUUCAUCGUCUGAUGACUCUGCGCCACACUCCUCCCCCGAAGACAAGGAGGAAGAAGAAGAUGCUCCCCCUUCAGUUGGGGGAGACAAGAAAAGGAAGGCCGCCCCAACUGGGGAGGCCGAAGGGUCCAAGAAGGGAAGGACUCUCCUUCCGGACAAUUCCACAACCGCCGCCGAAGGAGAAGACGAGUGGUUGCCCACGGCCAAGCCCCUGGGGAGGUCAUAAGUAUUCGGAUAGCAGAGUAACUCAUAGCAUUCCUUUGUCGCACUGCUUCCCCUAACACCGAAUAUGAUUAUGCAGGCCGCCACGAGCCCGUAUCGAUGUAUCGUCGGACGGCUCCCUGGGCUCGUCAGAUAUGGAUAGCGAUCCACUUCAGACCGCCACCUCCCCUUGCCCUGCGGACGACACCGAGGUGUUGUCUCAAGAGGCACCGGGUCGAGGGGAGACAGUCCCGGAGGCGCCUCAAGGCGACCUUCCGAACUCCGGGAGGAGAGGGGACAAGGCCCCUGAGGGCUCCGAGUUCGGCCCUCAGCCGAACACCGCGCCGGAACCUCCAGUGGUUCCGGACUCGGGCAGGCAGCCUCCUUCCAAGAGGGGCAAGACGGCUGUGUCGGUGACCCCUGUCCAACUAGAGGCACCGGACACUCUGCUAGGAGCGCUUCGCAGCGCUUCCAUCGACGAAGAGCACCGCACUAUUAUCAGUGCGACGAUCCAGAAGGUUCAGUCUGCCAAGAGCGGACUGACUGAAGCCUAUGCCAGCCUUCUAAUAGGCUUUGAGGUAAGUGUUUAAAAUAUAGGAAAAAUAUUACCGCAUAGAUAGUAGCCCCUGAUGCUCUAUUCGGUGUUCACAAAGAAAAGCCGAAUAGAGGAUCAAAACAAUAUCGCAGGAGUCUAAUUUAAGUAUAUCAAUAUGCAUAUGCAGGCUUCGCUGCUGGCAUCUGCCACACUGACUGCGGAGGUCACUGCACUGAAGCAGGACCUUAAAGGGUCCAAGGAUGAGCUCAGCCUUGCCAAGAGGCAGCUCGAGGAGAACAAAGGUAAGUAAUACCUAGUCUAUGGAUAUGUAUAAAAAGAAUGCAAUUGCAAAAUGAAAAGAUCAUCAUGAAUUUGCCAGGGGCCAUGACCGAAGUGGCAACCCUAAAGCAAGCGAUGUCCGAGGCCGAAGAUAAAGCGGCCAAGGAGUGCACCGAGCGGGAAAGGCAAGAGGCUCGGGUGGGCGAGGUGCAGCAAGAGCUCUAGGCUCUCGUGACAAAGCACGAGGCGUUGGAGCUUGACUCGAAGACGCGAGAUUCUGAGCUUUCCGUGGCCCUCGAGAGCGCGAAGAGUGCCAAGGCCGAAGCCCAAAAGGCCCUCCAGGAGAUUGACGCGAUGAAGAAAAUAGCAGCGGGUAAGGCAUUCUAUAUGCAAAGCAAGCAUGUGAAAGUAAAUUACCUAUUACUUACUCGAGUCCGGAGCUCUCCAGGAGCAUUCACAGAUUUGCCCCACAGCGUGUCGAAUGCCGCAUAGUUUUGCUAGGCCGAGGAGGGAAGUUCAACGAAGAAGCUAUUCUGGUCUUAGUAUAUUGGGACCGAACACCCGGUGCCUAUGAGCGACAGCUGAAGCAGCUGGUCGAGCUACACAAGGCGACCGAACAGGCCAUGAAGGGCUUUAUAGUCCGGCUGUGGCCUGGUGACGCCCUUCCGAACAGCUACAUCAGCCUGGUGAGGCGACUUGUGGAUGCUUGCCCACGGUUGGAAGUCGUCAAGUGGUACGUCUGCAUUGAAGGUGCACGCCGGGCUUUCGCCCGCGUGAAGGUGCAAUGGGCCAAGCUAGACGCCAUGAAGCUGGUCAAGGAAGGACCGCCGCAGGGCAAGGAGCAUCGCACCCCCGAAAUUUAUUAUGAGGGUGUCCUGAAGGGUGCCCGUCUUGUAGCGGACGAAUGUCCAAAGGAUGUAAUAUUUGAGUGAACUUGCUCGUGUGAUCCUGUAUGAUGAAAACUUGUUUCAUAUGCGCUAUGCAACGCUUGUUUGAAUUUAAAAUAUUACCUUCUGUUUGGCUGUUUAUCCAAUAUGAGAGAUGGCUAGUCCUCAGCUUCUGCCCCCAUGCCACGAGUGCUGGGGUGUUCAGGAUAAACCUGAGCACUCUUGUUCCCAUUUUUGGGUCCUUCGAGGGAGGUGCUCAGCACAACAAACAAGGAAACCAGACUAAUAAUGCUUUAUCACUCUCACUUAGCCAUAGAAUUCUAUAAUUUUAAAUUUCGGCGAAGCCCCUGGUAUUCGGAAGGCCGAAUUCAGGGCGCGAUACACGCCUUUAAGCCGGACAGGACCGGCUCCUCGCUCUAAGCGGCAUAAGUCUUUAGGGACUCGAAAUCUCGCCGAACAUCGACCAGUCUCUCGCCUUAUCAUGACAGUCAGUUUUAGCUUUCUCUAUUGAGGUGCUUACUCAGCAGAACCGGGGCACAAUCGCAGUAGUUCUCCUAGUGCUACCUUAGCCGAUAGAGCGGAACAUAAGGUACCAAAACAUAGGAGCCGGGCAAACCCAAUAUUUGACCAAGAACAUGAUUCAGAGCUGAUGCAUAUAAUGCUAUAAGUUCGGGGUGCCGCACUUGUGAAAGUGUUUGGACUUCUCACACCAUAUUGUGGGGUACUUAAGCCCCUGGUGUAUUGGCCAUACCAAAGUGUACGGUUGCAAGGCGUCAUUAAUGAACACACACACACACACACACACAUAUAUAUAUAUAUAUAUAAAGAAGAAUGCAAUAAUAGUCUUAAUGAUAUGCAUUGUUUAUUCAAAAAGGUGCAUUAAAGCAGAAUGAUACAGAUAGUGCGAUAAGCAAAAAGUAGGACUAUGUCCCUUCCAAGGGCAAGUUGAGGAAUAGUAUUAAAGCAAAUAUUUCACUCGUUGUCGUAAUCCACCUGGGAGUUCCGUGGUGUGACAUAGCUUUCAGCCACCUUGGUUGUUGCAUCAUGUGUUCGACAAUCAUGCUGCCGGAUAGGGUUUCCAGAGAUUAAAGUCCUGAAAGAGAAAAAUAACAAAGCGGGAAGCCCCUAGUGCGGUUUAAGCCGCGUCUUGGGGCGUGCCGUAGUUGUGCCCCCUCCCCACCUGUGCCCAUGGUAUUUUUAAUGCGUAAUUUUGUACGUGUGGCAUGGAUUUCGCCGUUUGGCUGGGACUGGGGUGGGGGCCGCAUUGCUACGCGAGCUCAGAUCGUGCCAGGCGGUCUAGUUGCCGAGUACUCCGAGCGCGCUUGAAGGUGUCCGGGUCUUCAAACGCCGGACUGGUGGAUUGCCUUGAGAGGAUGCUUUGCGCUUCUGCUGCGAGGGCCGCAGUGUGCUCCUCCGUGCGGAGAGAGCGCUCUGUGUUUCCAUUAACUGUGAUGACCCCCCGAGGUCCUGGCAUCUUGAGCUUGAGGUAUGCAUAAUGCGGUACCGCAUUGAAUCUCGCAAAUGCGGUUCGCCCGAGCAGUGCAUGAUAGCCACCGCGGAACGGGACUGUAUCGAAGAUUAAUUCUUUGCUUUGGAAGUUAUCCGGGGAUCCGAAGACCACUUCCAGUGUAAUUGAGCCUGUGCAAUGGGCCUCUACACUUGGAAUGACGCCUUUAAAGGUCGUUUUUGUGGGUUUGAUCCUUGAGGGAUCUAUACCCAUUUUGCGCACUGUGUCCUGGUAAAGUAGGUUCAGGCUGUUGCCGCCAUCCAUAAGGACUCGAGUGAGGUGAAAUCCGUCAAUGAUUGGGUCUAGGACCAGUGCGGCGAAUCCGCCAUGACGGAUACUAGUGGGGUGGUCCCUGUGAUCGAAGGUGAUCGGACAGGAGGACCAUGGGUUGAACUUUGGGGCGACUGGCUCCAAUGCAUAUACGUCCCUGAGUGCACGCUUCUGCUCCCUCUUGGGGAUGUGGGUUGUGCAUAUCAUGUUCACCGUCCGCACUUGUGGGGGGAACCUCUUCUGUCCUUCGGUGUUCGGCUGCCGGGGCUCCUCUUCGUCAUCGCUAUGUGUCCCCUUAUCUUUGUUUUCGGCAAUUAACUUGCCGGCCUGCUUGAAUACCCAACAAUCCCUAUUGUUGUGGUUAGUAGGCUUGUCGGGGGUGCGUGUAUUUGACACGAGCGAUCGAGUAUGCGGUCCAAACUGGACGGGCCCGGAGUGCUUCGUUUGAAUGGCUUUUUCCGCUGACCGGGUUUAGAGCCUUUGAAUCCGGCAUUGACUGCCGUAUCCUCGUUGUUGUCGCUGUUAAUGCGGUGCUUAUGUUUGUUGCGACGUGACCUGCUAUUGCCGUCCUUCGUAUCCGAAGUACCAUGGUUCUUUGAUAUGUUAUUACUGCGAGCCAGCCAGCUGUCUUCUCCCGCACAAAAGCGGGUCAUGAGUGUCAUGAGGGCUGCCAUAGAUUUCGGCUGUUCCUGACCAAGGUGCCGGGCUAGCCACUCGUCACAGAUGUUGGGUUCGAAAGCUGCUAGGGCCUCUGCAUCUGGACAGUCGACGAUUUGAUUUUUCUUUGUUAGGAACCGAGUCCAGAAUUGCCUGGCCGAUUCUUCUGGCUGCUGAAUUAUGUGGCUCAAGUCAUCGGCAUCUGGUGGUCGCACAUAAGUGCCCUGAAAGUUGUCAAGGAAUGCGGCCCCCAGAUCUUCCCAACAGCCAAUGGACUCUGGUGGCAAGCUGUUAAGCCAAUGCCACGCUGGUCCUUUGAGCUUUAGUGGGAGGUAUUUGAUGGCGUGUAAGUCAUCACGGCGGGCCAUGUGGAUGUGGAGGAGGAAAUCCUCGAUCCAUACCGCAGGAUCUGUUGUGCCGUCGUAUGAUUCUAUAUUUACGGGUUUGAAACCCUCUGGGAUUUGAUGAUCCAUGACUUCGUCUGUGAAGCAUAAGGGGUGUGCGGUGUCUCUGUAUUGGGCUAUAUCGCGACGCAGCUCGAAUGGGUCUUGCCCGUUGUGUUCGGCCCGGCCGGACUUACUUUUACUGUAUCCGGCAUGACGUUUAUCGUCUCGCAUAGUGGCGCACCCUCGUGAUCGGUAGAUCGAUCUUGCAUGUUUUGCUUUGUCCUCCAAUACGUCUCGCAGGUCUGGCGUAUUUCCCCAUGCCUUUUUAUUUGAAUGGCGUCGGGGUGCAGGCUGAACUUUUGGCUGGAAUGCCUCUGUAUCGCGGCCACGAGGUGGCCGAUCAGCCGCAUCAUACGCUUCUUCCUCCAGUCCAGGUAGCAACCUGCAUUUUGGGUAACUCUUGGACGGGCGUUCGAGUUUAUAUUCCUUGGCCACAAGGACUUUAGUCCAUCUAUCAGCUAGCAGAUCUUGAUCAGCUUGAAGCUCCUGCUGCUUUUUUUAAGGCUAUUUGCCGUGGCUAUAAGCCGGCGCUUGAAGCACUCUUGUUCGACGGGAUCCUCUGGCACGGCGAAUUCUUCAUCGUCGAGGCUUGCCUUGUCUUCGGAGGGGGCAUGUAAUUAUCAUCCUCCGCCUCUCCAUCUGCCACUCUCUCAGGAGGGCUGGCUCCUCCAUCCUCCUGCUCUAAAUCUUGCUGGAGGGGAUUGUUGUUACCGUCGGCACUAUCCAGAGUGUUAUUAUCUCCUGUGCCGGUAUCACCACUUUUGCUUUGGCGGGACUUAGAGUGGCGCCGCUGACGUCGGCGCUUGGGUUGUUUCUUGGAGGGUCAUCCUCUGCAGUCUCGUCGCCAUUGCCUUCUUUGGGUGUGUACACCAUGUAUAUAUCGUAUGAUGAGGUGGCUGUCCAGUGCCCUGUGGGUAGUGGUUCCUCUUCGUCUCCCGCAUCGCCGUCCAUACCAUCGAUGUCUUCGGAGUCGAAGUCGAGCAUGUCAGCUAAGUCAUCGACAGUGGCUACUAAGUGGGUGGUGGGUGGGCCGCGAAUUUCUUCGUCGACCGCGUCCCAAUCCUGCCGGACAUAGCUCGGCCAGGAUCCACCUGACAAGGAGAGAGACCUUAAUGAGUUCAGUAUGUCACCAAAGGGCGAGUGCUGAAAAAUAUCCGCAUAGGUAAACUCCAUGAUCGGCGCCCAAUUAGAUUCGCUAGGAACGGGCGCAGGCGGUUCAGAGUCCAUGGCCGGAGAAGGAUCCGGCAGUUUGACAACAUGGCUCUCGUGCAGGGUAAGGUCGAUGUUCGACUCAAUCACCGAUGAGGGUAAGGCUUCCAUGGCGGGGUCCAUCCACCCGUCCAUGGACGACGCAAAUGGCUCCGAAUUGAGGGUCGAAGCGGCUACCGAUGCGAUCUCCUGAACACUGUAUGAUGGUAGAGCCAAAUCGUACUCAUCGUGACCGCGUGGUGCACAAGGCAGAGGCUCAAAUCCGUCGAAGAUCAAGUCUCCGCGGAUAUCGGCCGUGUAGUUUAAGCUUCCAAACCUGACCUGGUGGCCAGGGGCGUAAUCUUCGAUUUGCUCCAGAUGGACAAGCGAGUUGGCCCGCAGUGCGAAGCCGCCGAACACAAAGAUCUGUCCGGGGAGAAAAGUCUCACCCUGGACUGCAUCGCUAUGGAUGAUUGUAGGAGCCAUCAAGCCUAACGGCAACGACACAGAGGAACUCUCAAUGAAAGCACCAAUGUCAGUGUCAGAACCGGCGGAUCUCGGGUAGGGGGUCCCGAACUGUGCGUCUAGGCAGAUGGUAAUAGGAGGCAGGGGACACGAUGUUUUACCCAGGUUCGGGCCCUCUUGAUGGAGGUAGUACAAGAGUAGAUCUACCACGAGAUCGAAGAUGCUGAACCCUAGUAGCUAGCCUAUGGUAUGAUUGUAUGUUGUCCUACGGACUAAAACCCUCCGGUUUAUAUAGACACCGGAGGGGGCUAGGGUUACACAAGGUCGGUUACAAAGGAGGAGAUAUACAUAUCCGUAUUGUCUAGCUUGCCUUCCACGCCAUGUAGAGUCCCAUCCGGACACAAGACGAAGCCUUCAAUCUUGUAUCUUCAUAGCCCAAUAGUCCGGCCAAAGGGUUAUAGCCCGGCUGUCCAGAUACCCCCUAAUCUAGGACUCCCUCAGCCGUCAACAGGCUGAAAGUGACACCGGGCCAGAAAUUGGCCCAACACUUAAAUGGGCCGCUAAAAGGCCGAAACUCAGGUCCGACUACAAAUGGCCCAUCAGAUUUAUGGGCCGUCAACAGGUUGAAAGACACACCGGGCCGGAAAUUAGCCCAACAUUUAAAUGGGUCGCUAAAAGGCCGAAAGAUGUACAUCCUGAAAAUUGGCCCAUCCAUUAAAUGGGCCGUUAACAGGCCAAAAUCUCAUUGGGCCCAUAUUGAGCCCAAAUAUAUAGCGGGCUGUUAACGGGCUCGAACUGACGAUGGGCUGCGAUGGUGUCAAAUCUUUAACGGGCCGAAUUGGCACAUCUUGUAUGGGCCGUGGGCUUAAAUGGACCUGAAACAAGUAGGCCUUAUAUGGGCCGGCCUGCUAAUUUUUACUGGGCCGGCCUUUUUCACCGGAAUGGGCCACUGUUGGGCCGUGCCACAUGUCGACCUAUCAUAGGCGCCUCCUGUCCAAUGAGUGGAUGACAUCUGUCCCAAUGAUGAGCCAACACGUGUUUCCUCUAGCCAAUGAUGAUUUUACACGUGGAAAAUCCCCAUUGGUCGGGGCUAUUAACGGGUUAUCGGAUCCAAAACCUGACCCGAUAGCUUAACAGCGUUCCGUUACGGUGGAUGCCACGUGUCGGUCACCCUUGACGAAAGCACUUCUGUGACGCGCGAUUAAUCGUCAUGGAAGUGGACACUUCCGUGAUGAUAAUUUUGGUAAUGUCAUGGAACACUUCUACGACAGCACAGAUAUGACUAUCUUGAUUCUGUCAUAAAUUUUUCAUGGAUGUACAUGCAUGACAAAAACGUGACCUAAUGUGACAAACACGUAUCAUCACGGAAGUGUAUUUUUUUGCAGUGUGUGCGGUUCGCGUGACCCCUUGGGAACAGGCGAGUUUUAAGGCUCAAGGGAGGGGACGCUUGAUAUUCGCAGUCCAUAUAAGUGGAUAGAACCCAUCUGUUCCACCCCACGCCUCAUUCUCUUUGCCUCUCCGCCCCGGAGAUCCAGCUCCCAAACUCCAAGCUCUUCCCUUCACGACAACUUCUCCGACCAUGGCUGGCUCCCAAGAAACUGGGUGCCAUCCUCCGUCAUAGAGGAGAACAUCAAGGAGUUGCGGGAAGCGCAGUAUUUGACCGCGGAAAUCAAGCACAUGCUUUCUGAUCCAGCGCAGGUCAUCCCCACUCCGGGGCCCGGUGAGAGGGUGGUGUUUAACCCCCACUUCCUCCAUGGACUCGGAUUCGUCCUCCACCCCUUUGUAAGGGGUCUCAUGUUCUACUACGGGCUGGAUUUUCAUGAUCUGGCCCCAAAUUCGUUCCUUCACAUCUCAGUGUUUAUCGUCGUGUGUGAAGCCUUCCUCCGUGUCCCUCCACAUUUCGACUUAUGGCUCAAGAUUUUUAAUAUGAAACCAAAGCUGGUCAAUGGGAAACACGCGGACUGUGGCGGCACCAUGGUGAGCAAGAUUCCCAAAGUCAAUUGGCCAAAGGGAGUUUUUUUGGACACCGUCAAAAUAUGGCAAUAAGAAUGGUUCUAUAUCACAGAACCCCGCGGCUCCAAGUGGGCGGCUGCACCAGCCUUUAGAUCCAGACCCCGGUGAGGAUUACAUCCUGGACCGACAAGAGUCCGGACUAGGGGUCGGUCCCUGAGGUGCUGCGGCUGCAGAAACGCAUCAAGAGCAUGAUAGCGAAGGACGUUACCCUUGCCGAUGUAUUCCAAGUGAUGCUGAUCCGCCGAGCACUUCCCCGCCAGAGGCAGCCCCUCAAGAUGUGGGAGUUCAAUCCGGAAGGGUCAUGGACCCUACAACGGUUCUACGACACAAUGCAUAAGGGGAUCUGGAAGCUGCUUUUUAAGAAGCGGAAGUCAUGGCCAAUGUCCUCAGAUGACACCGUCCUCGACUGCAACCACCCGUCCUCCAAGGUAAAUUCAAAAAACUCCGAACACCAAUAGGCUUCAACAACCUGAGGGAGAGGUGCGAAGUAAUCCAUCCCCAAACAGGUCUGGAUUAAGAAGGCGGAGCAGAUCCGGUGUCCGGCUCCGCUCCCCGAAGACCUAGCCAAUCCUCUUCUAAUGAGGAUGCUGGUACCGACGCCAUACCAGGUGCCGGCAAAGAAGGACAAGAAGAAGAAAAGGGAGGAGAGCACUUCGGGCGCAAUGUCCAGAGAUGCUGAUGCCCAGUCCUCUCACGAGGGUGAUGACGGCGAUGAGGAGGAGGAGGACGAAGAAGAUCUCCCCCGCAAGGGUAAAAAGAGAGUGGCCUCUGAAGACCUAGAAGACGAAGCGUCCAAGAGGGACAAAAUUACCCUCCCCGAUGACUCGGGGUCAGACACCAAGGUUACUCCGAAGCACCGGCGCCGGACUAAGCCCCAAGUUGACUCGUAAGUGGUCCGGGAUUUUUUCGCACUUAUUCAAUCAAUAAACUGUGAUGAUAACUCUAAGUUCUAUCUUUUAGUCCGGCCCGCGAUCUUCCCCCACUAUCUUCAUCCUCGGGGGAUCUUCCACCGGAGAUGAUGGAGAGCGGGCCGCCUCCAUUAGCCUCCCUGCCGCCUAAGGCGGAUGAUGCCGAGGUGUCGUCUCAUAGGCCCUCCCCAAGCCUUGAAGAGACAUGGGGGGCGAUCUAACGGUGCCAGAGGGUAAUACCUUGGCUGCCGGAGGGCCGGGGAGGAUGUUCCUCAUGGAGACCGGCGACGAGGGCCCCGGUCAAUCCAUCCCCCAGCCGCAGACUGCUCCGGAGACCAAUAUGGCCCCGUAGUCUAGUGAACGACCCCCUGCGGGAGAAAAGGGAGCGGCGACCUCUGCUAAUCUGGAGGUGCCGAAUAUCACGACGGACGCUCUUCAAAGUGCAUCUGUCCUAGACGAGCACCACAUCUUGAUGGGUGCGGUGUCUGAGAAGAUUCAGUCUGCCAAGAGUGGACUGAACGAAGCCUUCUCCAGCCUGCUAGCAGGCUUCGAGGUAUGCAAUGUAAUGUUUUUUGAUCUUUUUUAUGGGAAAUAUGCCCGUAUAUAGAUAGUAGCCCCUGAGACUCUAUUCGGUUUUCUGAAAGAAAAGCGAGCACAAGAUCAAUAAUCAGUUGUCAGGUGGUAACAUGCUAUUUUAUUUGAAUUUCAAAACAGGCCUCUCUGUUAGCAGCGACUGCCCAGUCGGCGGAGAUUUUCGAACUCAAAUGGAAACUAGAGCGAGCCGAUGAGGAUCUACUCCUUGUUAACACGCGACUCGACCAAGCGCAAGGUAUAAGAUACAUCUUGUGGUAUGCCUGUUUAUUUUCGUGCUUUUGUGGAAGUUGAAGAGCUUUACUGUGCAUGGUUGUACAGAUGGUGCUACCGCGAUGGAGACCCUUGAGGGUGAGCUUGCUCAAGCCAAGGAGCAGGCAAGGGUAAGCCAGGCGGCUGCUGACAAGGCAAUUGUGGACUUAAUGGCUGAACAGGCCACUCGGCAUCGUUUUGAGGAACGGGUGACUGAGAUGGAGCAAAAGCUCAAGGAGACUGCCGCCAAGUGUGAUUCCCUGGAAACGGAAAACAGAGCGAAGGUGACCGAACUCGCCAAGGCCAAUCAAGAUGCUUCAGAGGCACGGUUUGAAUCCCAUGCUGCGCGCGAGGAAAUCCAUCAAGCCGGUCAGAUAGCGGUUGGUAAGCUAUUUAUUUUACAGGCUAAAUUUGGGGACCAGAAGUAUGCCUUGCUUAAUCGACUAUGGAGUUCUCCAGACGCACGUGCGGAUCUACUAACGAGUGCUACGGAUGCCGCCCAAUUCUUCCAGGCCCAGGAGGGGUACGAGUCGGAGAAGCUCUUCUGGUCAUAGUUUGUGGAGCAGGAGCGUCCCCUACUGCUAAAUGACCAAAUGGCACAAUGGGCAGAGCUGCAUAAGAUGUCCAGUGCAUCCAUGAAGGACAUCAUAGUCCGGUUGUGGCCUGCUGAAGCCGUUCCGGGCAGCUACUUUGGCCUCGUGCGGUGUCUCGUCGAUGUGCUACCCUGGAUUGAUGCUCUCAAGAGGUGGUCCUCCAUGGAAGGAGCGUGUAUGGCUUUCGCCCGUGUCAAGAUGCACUGGGUGAAAAUGAAUGCCAAAAAGGUGGCGGUCGAGGGUCCUCCCGAAAGCAAGGCCCACCGCACACCAGAGCGCUAUUUUGAGGACGUGAUAAAAGGUGCUCGCCUUAUAGAGGGCCAAUGCUCGAAGGACAUAGUGUUCGAAUAAAAAGUCCAAACUUUCCGUGGAUGUUAUAAAUUAAAUGUUUUGUAAUAUAUUCAUUCCUUGAUGAAAGGUUUUUAUCCUCCUGCGCGACCGUUUAUUGUAUCUGAGAGUUCCUAGUCGGCGGCUUCAGCCCCCAUGUAGAUGCUACUGGGGUGUUUGAAAUUGCACAUAACUACACUUAACCCAAUGUCUUGGUCCUUGAAGGAGGUGUCAGUGCGGCGAACCAGGCAAUCAGACUAUUCGGUUUCAUUGCUCUCACUUAGCUAUAGGAGUUUGGCAAUGGGUCUAUUAGGUAGCCCCUAGUAUGUAUGCGGCUACCCUGAUGCGGGUGCAUUACAUAUGUGACCGGGAAACGGUCCUUCGUGUAACGGAAAAAUCGGUAAGGAUUGUAAUGAAUCGCCGAGUGGCUAACCAGCUCUCGCCGCAUCAUGACAAUCAGUUUUUAGCUUUCUCUAUUGAGGUGCUUAACCGGACGAACCAGAAACACAAUCACAUUAGUUCUUACUUUACUACCCUAGCCGAUCAAACAAAAUGUAAGGUAGCAAGCACAGGAGCCGGGCAACCCAACUAUUGACCAAAGACAUGAUUCAGAGCCGAUGCAUAUAAUGCCGAGCUCAGGACGCCGAAUUGUGCUAUAAAGCUGUUCGAACUUUUGUUUGGCAACGCAUAUGUUGUCCUAUAGAGCCCCUGGCAAUUUUGUGCCGAGGUGUGUGAGUGAGGAAACUGUAAAGACGGAAUGAAGUCUGCAAUUAAAGAUGGUUCCGAAUAAGAAUUUGUUUCACUGGGAUCUGAUUGAUACGUCAAAACGUAAUCUUACAUAAUUUAUCAUAAUCACAAAGGCCAUUUUGCAUGCCGGGGGUCUAGGGCUGGGAGAAAAAAAGCUUCUAUACAGGUUCUUGAGUGAAGUUGUGGUUUGCAAAAAUGCUUUGCACCUUCCUGCCGCAUGUUUGCGCCGCUUUCGCCCAAAUAAGAAAGAUUCCUUUAAAGGAAUGGUCUUCAGCUAUGUAUACAAAACCGGGCUCGGAAAGAGUCCUCGUGGGUCCGAAGAAUGAGUAGGUUUUGAUUCACUUGUGGUAAGAAAAUGAUUAAAUAAAGGGGAAAGCCAUAUAAGGUCAAACCUUUUUAUAGGCCUGUCCAUAUAUUGGCUCCGCCGAUGCCCAAGGUAUUUUGAGUGCAUAAUUGUGCACGCGCGGUAGGAAUUCCGCUGAUGUACAUGGUGGUCAACAGAGGCUAGGAUGCUAAUCCAGCCCUGAAGUUGUCGGACUGCCGGUAUACAGGACUGACCGGUCUUGCAUGGGGAAGUCCGGUGGCCUAAUAGCCAAGGAUGUGUGCGGCUUGAUAGGGCCGCUUUGUGCUUCGGCCGUAAUGGCCGCUGUAUGCUCCUCAGUACGGGGGAGCGCUCCAUGUUUUUGUUGAUUGUAAUGACGCCACAUGGACCGGGCAUCUUGAGCUUUAAAUAGGCAUAAUGCGGGACCGCAUUGAAGGGGGCAAAAGCGGUUCGUUCGAGCAAUGUGUGAUAGCAUCUGCGGAAGGGGAUGAUGUUGAAGAUCAAGUCUUCGCUUCGGAAGUUGUCCGACGAGCCAAAGACUACUUCCAACGUGAUUGAGCCUGUACAGUGGGCCUCAUUUCCAGGUAUUACUCCUUUGAAGGUAGUUCUAGUGGGCUUGAUUCUUGACGGAUUAAUGCCAUUUUGCGGACAGUGUCUUGAUAAAGUAGAUUGAGACUGCUGCUGCCAUCCAUGAGGACUUGCGUAAGAUGGAAUCCGUCGAUGAUGGGAUGGAGGACCAGAGCUGCCGAACCUCCGUGACGGAUACUGGUUGGGUGGUCCUUUCGAUCGAAGGUGAUCGGACAAGCCGACCAUGGGUUAAAUUUGGGGGCGACCGGCUCUAUGGCGUAGACGUCCCGUAGUGCGUGUUUGCGCUCCCUCCUAGGUAUAUGUGUGACAUAUAUCAUAUUCACCAUUUUUACUUCGGGGGAAACUACUUCUGUCCACCUGUGUUUGGUUGACGGGGCUCUUGGUCAUCGUAGUCACUUGGCGACCCUUUUCCCUUGUGUUCGGCGUUAAGCUUGCCGACUUGUUUGAAGACCCAACAAUUUCUGUUGGUAUGAUUGGCGGGUUUAUCGGGGGUACCAUGAAUCUGGCAAGGCCGAUCAAGUAUUCUAUCUAGACUGGAUGGGCCAUCUCCGUUUGCCUUGAAUGGCUUUUUCCGUUGACCGGGUUCGGAGCCACUGAAUCCGGCGUUAACCGCCGUGUCUUGCGCUCCUUCAUUGUUGUUUUGAUGCUUAUGCUUGUCGCGUCGUGGCUUGCCAUUGCUGUCCCUAGUUUCGGAGGCACCAGGGUCGCUGGUGCUAUUGCUUCUACGAGCGAGCCAGCUGUCUUCUCCCGCGCAAAAACGGGUCAUAAGUGUGGUGAUGGCUUCCAUGGACUUCGGCUUUUCUUGGCCGAGGUGUCAGGCGAGCCACUCGUCUCGGACGCUAUGUUUGAAGGUUGCGAGGGCCUCUACAUCCGGACAAUCCACAAUCUGAUUCUUUUUUAUUAGGAACCUUGGCCAAAGCUGUCGGGCGGAUUCCCCAGGCUUCUGGAUUAUGUGGCUAAGUUCAUCGGCAUCAGGGGACCGUACAUAGGUACCUUGGAAGUUGUCUCUGAAUGCAUCCAGGUCCUCCCAGCUACCAAUAGAAUUUUCUGGUAGAAUGUUCAGCCAGUGCCGUGCUGGUCCCUUAAGUUUGAGGGGAAGGUAUUUGAUGGUGUGUAGAUCGUCACUGCGAGCCAUGUGAAUGUGGAGAACAAAGUCUUUAAUCCAUACUGCGAGAUCUGUUGUGCCGUCGUAUGAUUCGAUGUUCAUGGGUUUGAACUCUUUGGGGAACUCGUGCUCCAUUACCCCAUCGGUGAAGCAUAGGGGUUGUGCGGCGCCUCUAUAUCGGGCCAUGUCACGACGCAGUUCGGAUGGAGUCCGUAUGCGGUUUUCAGCCCAGGGAUUGGUUAUGUUUAUCGCACCAGGCUUGAUAGCCCUCCUCUCGCGCCGGAGCACGCCCCCGCGAUCCGUAGCUUGACCUUGUCUGACCUGUCCUAUUUUCCAGGUCCUGUCGUAGGUCGUAUGUGUAACCCCAAGAUGUUGUUUCUCUGCUUUUAUGGCGAGGUGGAGCGGGCUGGUGUUUGGCUUGACUUGUCGUUCUGCCCUGGCCACGUGGUGGUUGGUUGGGUUCGGCAGCCACAUUGCGUGCUGGCGGUAUGGGCUCCCGCACCUCGUUGUCGAAUUGGGGCAGCAGCUUACGCUUCAGGUAACUCUUUUUUGGGCAUUCGAGUCCAUACUCUUCGGCCGCCAGGACAUUAGUCCAUCUGUCGUUGGGCAGAUCUUGGUCAGCAUGAAGCCGUUGCUGUUUCUUUUUAGGGUUCUAGCCGUAGCUAUUAGCCAGCGCUUGAAGCACUCUUGUUCGAGGGGUUCCUCUGACAUGAUAAAAUCUUCGUCGCCGAGGCUCACGUCGUCCUCGGAGAGUGUCAGAUAGUUGUUGUCCUCCGAGUCGUUGUUCCCUGUUUGUUCGUCAGGGUCAACUUGCCCAUCCUCCCGAUCAUCCUGUUCGGAUGUUAGUUGAUACGUCCAUUUUGCAUCAUGCUUUUAUAUCAAUAUUUAUUGCAUUUCAGGAUGUUAUUACACAUUAUGUCACAAUACUUAUGCCUAUUCUCUCUUAUUUUACAAGGUUUACAUGAAGAGGGGGAAUGCCGACGGCUGGAAUUCUGGGCUGGAAAAGGAGCAAAUAUUACAUACCUAUUCUGCACAUCUCCAAAAGUCCUAAAACUUCAUGGGAGCAUGUUUUAGAAUAUAUAAAAAAUAUUGGGCGAAAGAAGUACCAGAGGGGGCCACCCACCGUCCACGAGGGUGGGGGGCAUGCCCUACCCCCCUAGGCGUGCCCCCUGCCUCGUGGGCCCCCUAGCAGCCCUCUGAUGCCCAUCUUUGGCUAUAUGGAGUCCUUCAACGAGAAAAAAAAUCAUAAGGAAGCUCACGGGACGAAACUCCGCCGCCAUGAGGCGGAACCUUGGCAGAACCAAUCUAGGGCUCCGGCGGAGCUGUUCUGCCGGGGAAACUUCCCUCCGGGAGGGGGAAAUCAUCACCAUCGUCAUCACCAACGAUCCUCUCAUCGGGAGGGGGUCAAUCUCCAUCAACAUCUUCACCAGCACCAUCUCCUCUCAAACCCUAGUUCAUCUCUUGUAUCCAAUCUUCGUAUCAAAACCUCAGAUUGGUACCUGUGGGUUGCUAGUAGUGUUGAUUACUCUUUGUAGUUGAUGCUAGUUAGUUUAUUUGGUGGAAGAUCAUAUGUUCAGAUCCAUUAUGCAUAUUAAUACCCCUCUGAUUAUGAACAUGAAUAUGCUUUGUGAGUAGUUACGUUUGUUCCUGAGGACAUGGGAGAAGUCUCGCUAUAAGUAGUCUUGUGAAUUUGGUAUUCAUUCGAUAUUUUGAUGAGAUGUAUGUUGUCUUUCCUCUAGUGGUGUCAUGUGAACGUCCACUACAUGACACUUUACCAUUGUUUGGGCCUAGAGGAAGGCAUUAGGAAAUAAUAAGUAGAUGAUGGUUUGCUAGAGUGACAAAAGCUUAAACCCUAGUUUAUGCGUUGCUUUGUAAGGGGCUGAUUUGGAUCCAUAUGUUUCAUGCUAUGGUUAGGUUUACCUUAAUACUUAUGUUAAAGUUGCGGAUGCUUGCAAUAGGGGUUAAUCAUAAGUGGGAUUCUUGUCCAAGGAAGGACAGUAGCCAAGCACCGGUCCACCCACAUAUCAAAUUAUCAAAGUACCGAACGCGAAUCAUAUGAACAUGAUGAAAACUAGCUUGACGAUAACUCCCAUGUGUCCUCGGGAGCGCUUUCCUUUAUAUAAAAGUUUGUCCAGGCUUGUCCUUUGCUACAAAAAGGAUUGGGCCAUAUUGUUGCACCUUAUUUACUUUUAUUACUUGUUACCCAUCACAAAUUACCUUAUCACAAAACUAUCUGUUACCGAUAAUUUCAGUGCUUGCAGAAAAUACCUUGCUGAAAACCGUUUAUCAUUUCCUUCUGCUCCUCGUUGGGUUCGACAGUCUUACUUAUCGAAAAGGCUAUGAUAGAUCCCCUACACUUGUGGGUCAUCAUUAGUUCGAUGGGGUCUUCUUGGUCUUUGUUGUUCUCCGGAGUAUCUUGUGUUCGGUGCCGGUAUUGCUGUUCUUACCGCGGCGCGAUUUAGAGUGGCGCUGCUGACGUCGAUGUUUUGGCGGUAUCUUAGGAGGUUCAUCCUCGACUGGGUUUUUCUCGUCGUCGCCGUCGCCGUUUUUAGGUGUAUCCACCAUGUAUACAUCCUACGAGGAGGUGGCAAUCCAACGUCCGAUAACCGAUGGGAUUUGGGCCUGCUCCUCUCUGACAUCGUCGUCUAUACCGUCAAUGUCUUCAGAGACGUAAUCAAGCAUGUCAGUUAGGUCCUCGAUAGUGGCUAUGAAGUGGGUGGUGGGUGGGAAGUAAAAUUCCCUAUUUCCAGCCCCUAGCCCGGGCUGCGUGUGAUUCAGAAGCAGUUCCUCUGUGAUGAUGAGGGAUAUCAUUAAGUCCAGAGCCUCGUUUAAGAGCGGGGUUUGGAUGGAGUCGGAAGUUUCUGGGCUAAGCUCACAUGAUGAGGGCCUCCAGGGUUCGGAAUUAGUGUCUGGAGAAGAAUUCGACUUUGUAAUGAUUGCUAGAGACGUUGUUCUCUCUGGUUUUCCGGUGUUGAGCUCUAAGGCUGCAGAGAGUCCGGCGGGCUCUAGACUCCCGUCUUCGGAUCUGAUGGUAUGCUCCGGAUCUAAGGCCGGAGCGGUGGUUGGGGCCGCGAACUCUUGGAAGAUCAAGUCUCCUCGGGUAUCAGCGGCAUAAUUUAGAUUUCCAAAACUGAUCUGAUGUCCAGGGGCAUAGCUGUCGAUCUGCUCUAGAUGGCCAACCGAGUUGGCCCUCAGUGCGAAGCCGCCGAAUACAAAGGUCUGGCCAGGGAGAAAAAUCUCCUCUGCGGCAGUGUUGUUGUAGAUGAUUGAUGUAGCCAUUGAGCCUUUCGACGACGACAUAGUGGAACUCUCAAUGAAAGCACCAAUGUUGGUGUCAAAACCGGCAGAUCUCGGGUAGGCGGUCCCGAAGUGUGCGUCUAAGGACCGAAGGUAACAAGAGAUAGGGGACAUGAUGUUUACCCAGGUUCGGGCGCUCUUAAUGGAGGUAAUACCCUACGUCCUGCUUGAUUGAAUUUGAUGAGUAUAGGGGUUACAAGAGUUGAUCUACCACGAGAUCGUAAUGGCUAAACCCUAGAUGUCUAGCCUAUAUGAUUAUGAUUGCCUCUACGGACUAGACCCUCCGGUUUAUAUAGACACCGGAGGGGGCUAGGGCUUGUACAGAUUCGGUUUACAGAGAAAGGAGUCUUCAUAUCCGCACGCUAAGCUUGCCUUCCAUGCCAAGGAGAGUCCCAUCCGGACACGGGGAAAGUCUUCUGUCUUGUAUCUCCACGGCCCAUUAUUCCGGCCCAUAUCACAUAGCCCGGACGCCUGAGGACCCCGUAAUCCUGGACUCCCUCAUCGGGUAUAAUAGAGAAACUGCUAGCUAAUCCUUUUACAGGAGAUGGAACAUUACAUCCCGAUAUGCACCUAAUCUAUGUGGAUGAAGUUUGUGGAUUAUUUAAGCUUGUAGGUAUGCCCGAGGAUGUUAUCAAGAAGAAGGUCUUCCCUUUAUCUUUGAAGGGAAAGGCAUUGACAUGGUUUAGGCUAUGUGAUGAUAUUGGAUCAUGGAACUACAACCGAUUGAAAUUGGAAUUUCAUCAGAAGUUUUAUCCUAUGCAUCUGGUUCAUUGUGAUCAUAAUUAUAUAUAUAUUUUUUGGCCUCACGAAGGAGAAAGUAUCGUUCAAGCUUGGGGGAGGCUUAAGUCAAUGUUAUAUUCAUGCCCCAAUCAUGAGCUCUCAAGAGAAAUUAUUAUUCAAAAAAUUUAUGCUCGGCUUUCUCUCAAUAAUCGCUCCAUGAUCGAUACUUCUUGUACUGGUUCUUUUAUGAUGAAGACUAUUGAAUUCAGAUGGGAUUUAUUGGAAAGAAUUAAACGCAACUCUGAAGAUUGGGAACUCGACGAAGGUAAGGAGUCAAGUAUAACACCUAAGUUUGAUUGUGUUAAAUCUUUUAUGGAUACCGAUGUUUUUCGUGAAUUUAGCACUAAAUAUGGACUUGACUAUGAGAUAGUAGCCUCUUUCUGUGAUUCAUUUGCUACUCAUGUUGAUCUCCCUAAGGAGAAGCAGUUUAAAUAUCAUACUCCCAUUGAAGUAAAAAUAGUUGAACCUAUUGAAGUUGAAGAAAAUACUAUCACUUAUAAUGUUGAUCCAAUUGUUCCUACCGCUUAUAUUGAGAAACCACCUCCUUGUUAGAAUAAAGGAUCAUGCUAAAGCUUCAACUACGGUUCGUAAGAGUAAUGCUAGAACACCUACACCCUCUGAGCAAAUUAAAGUUGAACCUAGUAUUGCUAUGGUUAUGGAUCUCUUGGUCGAUAAUAUUGAUGGGCAUGCUAUUUACUCCUGUGAUGAAGCUGCUAGAAUUGCUAGACCCGAUACUAAGAAUAAACAUAGACCUGGUGUUGGCAUGCCUGUUGUUUCUGUUAAAAUAGGAGAUCACUAUUAUCAUGGCUUAUGUUAUAUGGGUGCUAGUGUCAGUGCAAUACCUUACUCUUUAUAUAAAUAAAUUAUGCAUGAUAUUGCACCGGCUGAGAUAGAAGAUAUUGAUGUUACUAUUAAGCUUGCCAAUAGAGAUACUAUUUCACCAAUUCGGAUUGUUAGAGAUGUUGAAGUCUUGUGUGGGAAAAUUAAGUAUCCUACUGAUUUUCUUGUUCUUGCUUCCCCACAAGAUGACUUUUGUCCCAUUAUAUUUGGUAGACCCUUCUUGAAUACUGCUAAUGCUAAGAUAGACUGCGAAAAGGAUAUUGUUACUGUUGGUAUAGGGGAUAUGUCUCAUGAUUUCAAUUUUGCUAAAUUUCAUAGACAACCCCAUGAUAAAGAAUUGCCUACUAAAGAUGAAAUUAUUGGUCUUGCUUCUAUUGUCGUGCCUCCUAAUGAUCCUUUAGAACAAUAUUUUCUAGACCAUGAAAAUGAUAUGUUUAUGAAUGAAAGAAGGGAAAUAGAUGAAGUAUUCUUUAAACAGGGACCUAUUUUGAAACACAACUUGCCUGUUGAAAUUCUAGGGGAUCCUCCUCCACCCAAGGGUGAUCCCGUGUUUGAGCUUAAACCAUUACCUGAUACUCUUAAAUAUGUUUAUCUUGAUGAAAAGAAGAUAUAUCCUAUUAUUAUUAGUGCUAAUCUUUCAGAGCAGGAAGAAGAGAAAUUAUUGAAAACUCUGAAUAAGCCCUCUUGAUGAUCUUAAGGGCAUUAGUCCCACUCUAUGCCAACACAAAAUAAAAUUGGAGAAAGACGUUAAACCGGUUGUUGAUCACCAACGACGGUUAAAUCCUAAGAUGAAAGAAGUGGUAAGAAAUGAAAUGCUAAAGCUUCUGGAGGCAGGCAUAAUUUAUCAUGUUGCUGAUAGUCAGUGGGUAAGUCUUGUCCAUUGUGUCCCUAAGAAGGGAGGUAUUACUGUUGUUCCUAAUGAUAAAGACGAAUUGAUCUCACAAAGAAUUGUUACAGGUUAUAGAAUGGUAAUUGAUUUCCGCAAAUUAAAUAAAGCUACUAGAAAGGAUCAUUACCCUUUACCUUUUAUUGAUCAAAUGCUAGAAACAUUAUCCAAACAUACACAUUUUUGCUUUCUAGACGAUUAUUCUGGUUUCUCUCAAAUACCCGUGUUGAAAGAGGAACAGGAAAAGACCACUUUUACUUGCCCUUUCGGUACCUUUGCUUAUAGACGUAUGCCUUUUGGUUUAUGUAAUGCACCUGCUACCUUUCAAAGAUGUAUGACUACUAUAUUCUCUGACUUUUGUGAAAAGAUUGUUGAGGUUUUCAUGGAUGAUUUCUCCGUGUAUGGAACUUCUUUUGAUGAUUGCUUAAGAAACCUUGAUCGAGUUUUGCAGAGAUGUGAAGAAACUAAUCUUGUCUUGAAUUGGGAGAAGUGCCACUUUAUGGUUAAUGAAGGUAUUGUCUUGGGGCAUAAAAUUUCUGAAAGAGGUAUUGAAGUUUAUAAAGCUAAGUUAAUGCUAUUGAAAAGAUGUCAUGUCCUAAGGACAUUAAAGGUAUAAGAAGUUUCUUGGGUCAUGCUGGUUUUUAUAGGAGGUUCAUUAAAGACUUCUCAAAAAUUUAUAGGCCUCUGACUAAUCUCUUACAAAAAGAUGUUCCUUUUGUCUUUGAUGAUGAUUGUGUAGAAGCAUUUGAAAUACUUAAGAAAGCCUUGAUGUCUGCACCUAUUGUUCAGCCACCUGAUUGGAAUUUACCUUUUGAAAUUAUGUGCCAUGCUAGUGAUUAUGCUGUAGGUGUUGUUCUAAGACAAAGAGUUGAUAAGAAAUUAAAUGUCAUCCAAUAUUCUAGUAAAACUCUAGACAGUGCCCAGAGAAAUUAUGCUACUACUGAAAAGAAUUUUUAGCAGUUGUAUUUGUUUGUGAUAAGUUCAGACCCUAUAUUGUUGAUUAUAAAGUAACUGUUCACACUGAUCAUGCUGCUAUUAAAUACCUUAUGGAAAAGAAAGAUGCUAAACCUAAACUUGUUAGAUGGGUUCUCUUGCUACAAGAAUUUGAUCUGCAUAUUAUUGAUAGGAAGGGAGCUGAGGACUCCGUUGCAGACAACUUGUCUAGGUUAGAAAAUGUUCUUGAUGACCCACUCCCUAUUGAUGAUAGUUUUCCUGAUGAACAAUUAGCUGUCAUAAAUGCUUCUCGUACUGCUCCAUGGUAUGAUGAUUAUGCUAAUUACAUUGUUGCUAAAUUUAUACCGCCUAGUUUCACAUACCAGCAAAAGAAAAAGUUUUUCUAUGAUUUUAUACAUUACUUCUGGGAUGACCCACACCUUUAUAAAGAAGGACUAGAUGGUGUUAUUAGACGUUGUGUACCUGAGCAUGAACAGGAACAGAUCCUACGCAAGUGUCACUCCAAGGCUUAUGGAGGACACCACGCUGGAGAUAGAACUAGACAUAAGGUAUUGCAAUCCGGUUUUUAUUGGCCUACUCUUUUCAAAGAUGCCAGUAAGUUUGUCUUGUCUUGUGAUGAAUGUCAAAGAAUUGGUAAUAUUAGUAGACGUCAAGAAAUGCCUAUGAACUAUUCACUUGUUAUUGAACCAUUUGAUGUUUGGGCCUUUGAUUAUAUGGGACCGUUUCCUUCCUCUAAUUGGUAUACACAUAUUUUAGUUGUUGUUGAUUACAUUACUAAGUGGGUAGAAGUUAUUCCAACUAGUAGUGCUGAUCAUAACACCUCUAUUAAGAUGCUUAAAGAAGUUAUUUUUCCGAGGUUUGGAGUCCCUAGAUAUUUAAUGACUGAUGGUGGUUCACAUUUUAUUCAUGGUGCUUUUCGUAAAAUGCUUUCUAAGUAUGAUGUUAAUCAUAGAAUUUCAUCUCCAUACCGCCCAUAGUCUAGUCGUCAAGUAGAACUAAGUAAUAGAGAGAUUAAAUUAAUUUUGCAAAAGACUGUUAAUAGAUCUAGAAAGAAUUGGUCCAAGAAACCUGAUGAUGCAUUAUGGGCCUAUAGAACUACAUAUAAAAAUCCUAUGGGUAUGUCUCCGUAUAAAAUGGUUUAUGGAAAAGCAUGUGACUUACCUCUCAAACUAGAACAUAAGGCAUAUUGCGCCAUUAAAGAGCUCAAUUAUGAUUUCAAACUUUCCGGUGAGAAGAGACUUUUUGACAUUAGCUCACUUGAUGAGUGGAGAACCCAGGCCUAUGAGAAUGCCACACUAUUUAAAGAAAAAGUUAAAAUAUGUCAUGACAAAAGGAUACAAAAACGUGAGUUUAAUGUAGGUGAUUAUGUUUUGUUAUACAACUCUCGUUUAAGAUUUUUUGCAGGAAAACUCUUCUCUAAAUGGGAAGGUCCUUACGUUAUCGACGAGGUCUAUCAUUUUGGUGCCAUAAAAAUCAACAACUUCAAAGGCACAAAUCCGAAGGUGGUGAAUGGUCAAAGAAUCAAACAUUAUAUCUCGGGUAAUCCCACAAAUGUUGAAACCAAUGUUAUUGACACCGUAACCCUGGAGGAGUACAUAAGGGACACUUUCCAGAACGUUACAGACUCCGAAAAGGAAUAGGUAUGUGGUACAGUAAGUAAACCGACUCCAAAACAGUUCUAACAGCAAUUUUUUCCAUUUUGGAAUCCUUAAGAAAAUAGGAAAAUAAGAAGUAGUCCGGAAAGGACACAAGGAAUCCACGAGGGUGGAGGGCGCACCCUACCCCUUGGGAGCGCCCUCAUGCCUCGUGGGCACCUCGUGUUCCCAUCGGACUCCGUUUUCUUACACAAUACUUCUUCUGGUCGAUAAAAAUUCAUUAUAUAAUCUCCCGAAGAUUUUGACCACCGUACCACGACAAAAUCCUCUAUUUUUGUUUUGAGUCGUUUCUGCCGUAGAUUAGAGCAAUAUAUCAUCCCAGGAUUCGGAGGGAGAAAGCUAUGUGGCUGAUUAACUUGCAGACCCUAAGGUCUACGAGGACUUGGAGCAUUGUGGUUGGACCACAGAGGAAGAAGAAGACUAUGAUCCUAGGGGAUAGGAGGAGAUGAGAUCAGAUGAAGAUGAAGUCCCAUUACCUCAACCUAUGGACAUGCAUGUGGAGUUCAAAAAGUCAAGCCUCCCUGAUAGAGCAAAGAAACCUAAGAUCGAGUUUAUCCCUUUUCACCUCUUGCAGGAGAGCAAACAGGAACUAUGCAGAAAGAUAUUAAGCCUGGAGUAGGAGAUCGAUGACCUAAGGGAGCAAAAUUCUAUCCUCAAGCGCAAAUUAAGGAAGAAGCCUACGUCAUCAACAACUCCAUCAUCACCACCUCCAAAGAAAGAGACAUAAACACAUGGGUAUGGGCACUCCCCUUGGAAACUACCAAGCUUGGGGGAGGUGCCCCGAUAUCGUAUCACCAUCACACUUCUAUCUUUAACAUUUUUCUUUGUAUGAUCCUUUUGGUUAUAUCUUGAUCUAGUAGAAUAAAGUUUAGUAUGAUCUAGCUUUGAGUUUUUGUGUUGAUCCUUAUCUAUGUAAUCGAGUUCGUGAGCUAUAUAUAAUAAAGAUUAGUCAUGAGUCGAGGGCUUGGUUAUCUUACUAUGAUCUUGAGGGAAUAAAAGAAAAAAGAAAGAAUAAAAAGAAAUAAAGAGAUCAUAUUGAUCUUAUGGAGAGUAAUGACUUCACAUAUAAAGAGUAUGAUGAAUAAAAGUUGUUGAGAGUUGACAAACAUAGUUUUGGUCAUCGUUGCAAUUAAUAGGAAGUAAUAAACAAAGAGAGGUUUUCAAAUAUAAAUAUACUAUCUUGGACAUCUUUUAUGAUUGUGAGCACUCAUUAAAAUAUGAUAUGCUAAAAAGUUGACGUUGGACAAGGAAGACAACGUAAUGGGUUAUGUUUUCUUAUAUCUGAAAUAAAUUAUAUUGUCAUGGAUCAUCCAACAUGUUGAGCUUGCCUCCCCCCUCAUGCUAGCCAAAUUCUUUGCACCAAGUAGAGAUACUACUUGUGCUUCCAAAUAUCCUUAAACCCAGUUUUGCCAUGAGAGUCCAUCGUAUCUACCUAUGGAUUGAGUAAGAUCCUUCAAGUAAGUUGUCAUUGUUGCAAGCAAUAAAAAAUGCUCUCUACAUAUGUAUGAUCUAUUAGUGUGGAGAAAAUAAGCUUUAUACGAGCUUGUGACAGACUACAUAAUAAAGGUCCCUAUCACAAGUGGCAAUAUAAAGUGACGUCCUUUUGCAUUAAGAUUUUGUGCAUCCAACCAUAAAAGCACAUGAUAAUCUCUGCUUCCCUCUACGAAGGGCCUAUCUUUUAUUUUUGUCUUAUACCUUAUACAAGAGUCUUGGUGAUCUUCACCUUUCCUUUUUACACUUUAUCACUUGGCAAGCACUAUGUGUUGGAAAGAUCCUGAUAUGUAUAUCCAAUUGGAUGUGGGUUUUCAUAAAGCAUUAUUGUUGACGUUACCCUUGAGUUAAAAGGUUGGGAGGCAAAACUAUAAGCCCCUAUCUUUCUCUGUGUCCGAUUAAAACUUCAUACUCAUAAGUAUUGCGUGAGUGUUAGCAAUUGUGAAAGACUAAAUGAUACUCCCUGCGUUCCAAAUUACUCGUCGCAAAAAUGGAUGUAUCUACAACUAAAAUACUUCUAGAUACAUCCAUACCUACGACAAGUAAUUUGGAACAGAGGGAGUAGUUGAGUAUGUGGACUUGCUGAAAAGCUCUUAUAUUGACUCUUUCCGAUGUUAUGAUAAAUUGCAAUUGUUUCAAUGACUAAGAUCAUAGUUUGCUAGUUUUUCAAUGGAGUUUCUGAUUCAUACUCUACAUUGUGAAUAGAUUGUUACUUCAAUAUAAGAAAUCGUAUGACAAUACAUAUAUGUUGCUAUUAUAAGAAUGAUCAUGAUGCCCUCAUGUCUGUAUUUUAUUUUAUCGACACCUCUAUCUCUAAACAUGUGGACAUAUUUUUGGAUAUCGGCUUCUGCUUAAGGAUAGGCGAGGUCUAAGCUUGGGGGAGUUGAUACAUCCAUUUUGCAUCAUGCUUUUAUAUCGAUAUUUAUUGCAUUAUGGGAUGUUAUUACACAUUAUGUCACAAUACUUAUGCCUUUUCUCUCUUAUUUUACAAGGUUUACAUGAAGAGGGAGAAUGCCGGCAGCUGGAAUUCUAGGCUGGAAAAGGAGCAAAUAUUAGAAAUCCAUUCUGCACAACUCCAAAAGUCCUGAAACUCCAUGAAAGUCGGUUUUGGAAUGUAUUAAAAAUAUUGGGCGAAGAAAGCACCAGAGGGGGGCCACCCAGUGUCCACGAGGGUGGAGGGUGCGCCAUACCCCCCUAUGCGCGCCCCUGCCUCGUGGGCUACCUGGAAGCCCCCCGAUGCCCAUCUUCUAGUAUAAGGUGUAUUUUUCCCUGGAAAAAAUCAUAAGGAAGCUUUUGGGACGAAGCGCCACCGUCUCGAGGCGGAACCAAUCUAGGGCUCCGACGGAGCUGUUCUACUGGGAAACAUCCCUCCGGGAGGGGGAAAUCGUCACCAUCGUCAUCACCAUCGAUCCUCUCAUCGGGAAGGGGUCAAUCUCCAUCAACAUAUUCACCAACACCAUCUCCUCUCAAACCCUAGUUCAUCUCUUGUAUCCGAUCUUUGUCUCAAAACCUCAGAUUGGUACAUGUGGGUUGCUAGUAGUGUUGAUUACUCCUUGUAGUUGAUGCUAGUUGGUUUAUUCGGUGGAAGAUUAUAUGUUCAGAUCCUUUAUGCACAUUAAUACCCCUCUGAUUAUGAACAUGAAUAUGAUUUGUGAGUAGUUACGUUUGUUCCCGAGGACAUGGGAGAAGUCUUCUUAUAAGUAGUCAUGUGAAUUUGGUAUUUGUUCGAUAUUUUGAUGAGAUGUAUGUUGUCUUUCCUCUAGUGGUGUUAUGUGAACGUAGACUACAUGGCAUUUCACCAUUGUUUGGGCCUAGGGUAAGGCAUUGGGAAGUAUUAAGUAGAUGAUGGGUUGCUAGAGUGACAGAAGCUUAAACCCUAGUUUAUGUGUUGCUUCGUAAGGGGCUGAUUUGGAUCCAUAUGUUUCAUGCAAUGGUUAGGUUUACCUUAAUUCUUCUUUCAUAGUUGCGGAUGCUUGCGAGGGGGCUAAUCGUAAGUGGGAUGCUUGUCCAAGUGUCGGUGUAAAAACCGGCGGAUCUCAGGUAGGGGGUCCCGAACUGUGCGUCUAAGGCGGAUGGUAACAGGAGGCGGGGGACACGAUGUUUACCCAGGUUCGGGCACUCUCGAUGGAGGUAAUACCCUACUUCCUGCUUGAUUGAUCUUGAUGAUAUGAGUAUUACAAGAGUUGAUCUACCACGAGGUCGUAGAGGCUAAACCCUAGAAGUUAGCCUAUGGUAUGAUUGUUGUUGUCCUACGGACUAAACUCUUCGGUUUAUAUAAACACCGGAGGGGGCUAGGGUUACGUAGAGUCGGUUACAAGGGAGGAGAUCUACAUAUCCGUAUUGCCAAGCUUGCCUUCCACGCCAAGGUAAGUCCCAUCCGGACACGGGACGAAGUCUUUAAUCCUGUAUGUUCAUAGUCCAACAGUUCGGCCAAAGGAUAUAGUCCGGCUGUCCGGAGACCCCCUAAUCCAGGACUCCCUCAGUAGCCCCUAAACCAGGCUUCAAUGACGAUGAGUCCGGCGUGCAGAUUUGUCUUCAGCAUUGCAAGGCGGGUUCUUCCUCCGAAUACUCCAUAGAAUACUUUGAACACAAGGAUAGUGUCCGGCUCUGCAAAACAAGUUCCACAUACCACCAUAGAGAGAAUGAUAUUUCCACAAAUCUAAUCUGCUGACAGGUUUAGCAACAUGACAUCAUGUCAUGGCCCGGUCAUUAUUCGAACUGUUUUUCUCAACCAGCACUACACAUAUCGCGAGGCGGUUUUCUUGACACGUCUUGUCGAAGUAGAGAUCAUGUCCCCCUUAUUACGGGAUUCUCAUCAAUACGGAGGUGCGUAACCCAAUCGUGCCCGUUGGUAUGACUCCUCGAUUUUAGGCAAGUCCCAAACGACCACGAGGAGGGCGCUUGAUAUUCACCCUCUUUAUAAAGAGGCCAAGGCCUGUCCUUUUUUCCCUCUCGUACUCAAUCGAAUCCUUCCCCCGCCUCGAGUUCUAACACCCAAGGCUCAGGUCAAGCGCUUCGGACCUUCAACCAUGUCCGGAUCCAACCAUCAAGGUCGGUGGAUGCCUUCCUCUGCCACAGAGGAAGACAUCAAGAAGCUAAGAGAGGCCAGGUAUUUGACCUUCGAAAUCUUGCACAGGCUGGCUGCUCGAGGGCAGGUCAUUCCCACUCCCGAACCCGGCGAGAGCGUUGUGUUCAUCUCUCACUUCCUCUGAGGGCUAGGCCUCGCUGUGGAUCCCUUUGUUAGGGGGAUCAUGUUCUAUUAUGGGCUGGAUUUCCAUGACCUAGCCCCGGAUUCCAUCCUUCACAUCUCGUCGCUCAUCGACGUGUGUGAGGCCUUCCUCCGCAUUACCCCCCCACUUCGGCCUGUGGCUCAAGACUUUCAAUGUGAGGCCGAAGAUGAUCGAGGGGCGACACGCAGAGUGCGAAGGUGCCGUAAUAAGCAAAGGCGCCGAUGUUCCAUGGCCAAAAGGUUCCUUCCCGGAGGUGUCCAGUUUAUGGCAAUGGGAGUGGUUUUAUAUCACAGCUCCCCGGAGUACCAAGUGGGUGGCCGCCCCUGCCUUUCGCUCGGGCCCCCCACCACAACUAACGUCAUGGAUGAACAAGGGGCUGGACUGGGGGACAGUAAAUGAUGUGCCGAUAUUGCAGAGUCGUAUCUGAGAUCUCCUCGAGAGAGAUGUCAGCCUGGUCACGGUAAUGCAAGUCAUGCUAGUUCGUCGAGUCCCGCCUUGCAAACGUCGACCCCUCCGUAUGUGGCAAUUCAACCUGGAAGGACCGCGAACUAUUCAGCACUUCCUUGGCAUGACGCUCGAAGAGAUGUACAAAUUGUUCUUUAGACCACAAAUAAAGUGUCCGGACACCACCGAGGAUGCGGGUUGAGCUGUAAUCACCCAGAUACCCAAGUAAGUAAUCCCGUGGCCGAACAGGCUGUCUUUUUUAUUUAUCACAACAUCAUUCUGAAAAGUCGCUCUUUGACCAGGAUUGGGUAACAAAGGCGAAGGUGAUCAAGUGUUUGGCCCCCCUUCCCGAAGGCUCGGCCGAUCCAGUACUAGCCAGAAUGCUCGAGCCGACGCCUUAUCAAGCGCCCUAAGGGGAAGAUAAAGGGGGGAAUAAAGAGGCUGAAAGCAGGCCUCACUCAUUAUUCAUCCAAAUCGGGGGAAUUAGCGCCUCCGCGAAGGAGGAUAACCAGGGAGAAGAAUCUGAAAUUCCCUCUCCCCAAGGAAGGAAGAGGACCACCUCUGAAGACCCGGAAACAAAGGUUUCCAAACAGGGGAAGAACUCUUCGCCAGAAGGUCCUACCUCGGAGGGUACUCUUGCCGCAUAGUGCCCGCAAGGGUAUCAGCCCUCUACCGAGCUGUAAGUAAACAAAAAGUACUUAAUAGUAAAAAUAUCAUACAUUACUUCUGAAGACAAUAACCGAAGCAUAUAUCUUGUAGUUCGGAUCGUAGCCUUUCUUGACAGAGUUCGUCUUCAAGGGAUCUUCUUCCGGAGAUGAUGGAGAGCGAAACACCUCACCAUGCCACCCCGCCACAUGAGGCGGGCAAUCCUGAAUUGUCGUUGCGGAGGGUUUCUCCUGAUCCGCCAAGUCCAGAGAGUAAUCCUUCGGCCACCCGAAGUCCUCAGUAUUCGGCUCCUAAAGAGAGCAACAUAAAGAGUCUGGAACCGUCCGGUGUGCGCUCGGACGCACUGAAGGAUCUUCUGGAGCAAGCGGUCAUCUCAGAAGUACAUCGUACGCUAAUGGGUACGGUGAUUGAGAGGAUUUCAUCUGCCGAAAGCGGGUUGCAUGAAGCUUUUAUGAGUUUGCUGAAAGGCUUCGAGGUACAUGAAAUAGUGUAUGUUUUUGAUAGUACUGCAAAUGUUAGGUGUGCCCUAUGCAGAUAGUAUGCCUACAUCGUGCUUGUCAACAAGCGGCUCGACAAGGCACAGGGUAUGUGAUUUCUCCGGUGAUCAACACAUAGUAAGAGGAGCAUGAUGCUAGUAUAUUUAAUAUGUUGUGACUGCAGAUGGAGCUGCCGCCGUGGAGACCCUUUGGGAGGAACUUGCCCGAGCCAAGGAACAAGCCAGGAAUAGUGAUGCGGCCGCUCUAAAGGAGGUCGAAGAGCUGAGGGCUGAACAAGCUGCGCAUUGCCAAAGCAAGAAAAAAUAGCCAAGAUGGACGUUGAGUUGAAAGAUGCCGCUGACCGUUACCAGCUUCUUGAAAAAGAAAGUUGAGUGAAGGCGACGGAGCUGGAGAAGGCCAUGGUAGUAGCCAAGGAAGCCCGCUCUAAAAUCAGAGCGGCGAAGGAGGAGCUGCAUCAAGCUGGAGAUAUCACCGCUGGGAAGCCAUUUUUGUUGCGGACGAAGUUCACAGAUCCGAAGUAUGCCCCUCUUGAUCAACUAUAGAGUUCUGCAGACACAUACAUGGAUUUGGCAGCUAGUGCUGCUGAUGCAGCCGAGUACUUCAAGGAUCAAAAGGAUCAUGAAGUGGAAAGGCUAUUUUGGUCACAGUUCCAUGUUCCAGUGCGUCCGCUGCUGUUGAAUGAGCGAAUGGCCGAGUGGGCCGAGCUCAAUAGGUUGUCCGGGCUUGCCAUGAGGUCUGUUGUGGAUCAUCUGUGGCCGGAAGGGCCAAGGCUGAAUAGUUAUUUUAGUUUAGUGCAAUAGUUCCUUGGUGCUGUGCCGCACAUCGAUGCUAUGAAGAGGUCGGCGUGCAUAGAGGGUGCGCGUAUGGCACUUGCCCGUGUCAAGACAUACUGGGUAGAGAUGGAGGCCACCGCUAUUGCAACCCAGAGUCCGGUCGUAGGCCGAGUAUCUGUCGAGCACUACUUUGAAGAAGUCCUUGAAGGCGCUUGUUCAAUAGAGGCUCAGUGCUCGAAGAAUAUUAUGUUCUAGUGACAUGUAUUUGUUGGAAAUAUGCCCUAGAGGCAAUAAUAAAAGUAUUAUUAUUAUAUUUCCUUGUUCAUGAUAAUUGUCUUUAUUCAUGCUAUAAUUGUGUUAUCUAGAAAUCGUAAUACAUGUGUGAAUAACAGACACCAACAUGUCCCUAGUAAGCCUCUAGUUGACUAGCUCGUUGAUCAAUAGAUAGUCAUGGUUUCCUGACUAUGGACAUUGGAUGUCAUUGAUAACGAGAUCACAUCAUUAGGAGAAUGAUGUGAUGGACAAGACCCAAUCCUAAACAUAGCACAAGAUUGUAUAGUUCGUUUGCUAGAGUUUUCCAAUGUCAAGUAUCCUUUCCUUAGACCAUGAGAUCGUGUAACUCCCAAAUACCGUAGGAGUGCUUUGGGUGUACCAAACGUCACAACGUAACUGGGUGACUAUAAAGGUAUACUAUGGGUAUCUCCGAAAGUGUAUGUUGGGUUGACACGGAUCAAGACUGGGAUUUGUCACUCCGUAUGACGGAGAGGUAUCACUGGGCCCACUCAGUAAUGCAUCAUCAUAAUGAGCUCAAAGUGACCAAGUGUCUGGUCACGGGAUCAUGCAUUACGGUACGAGUAAAGUGACUUGCCGGUAACAAGAUUGAACGAGGUAUUGGGAUACCGACGAUCGAAUCUCGGGCAAGUAACAUAUCGAUUGACAAAGGGAAUUGCAUACGGAGUUGCUUGAAUCCUCGACAUCAUGGUUCAUCCGAUGAGAUCAUCGUGGAGCAUGUGGGAGCCAACAUGGGUAUCCAGAUCCCGCUGUUGGUUAUUGACCGGAGAGCCGUCUCGGUCAUGUCUGCCUGUCUCCCGAACCCGUAGGGUCUACACACUUAAGGUUCGGUGAUGCUAGGGUUGUAGGGAUAUGUAUAUGCAGUAACCCGAAUGUUGUUCGGAGUCCCGGAUGAGAUCCCGGACGUCACGAGGAGUUCCGGAAUGGUCCGGAGGUAAAGAAUUAUAUAUAGGAAGUGUUGUUUCGGCCAUCGGGACAAGUUUCGGGGUCACCGGUAUUGUACCGGGACCACCGGAAGGGUCCCGGGGGCCCACCGGGUGGGGCCACCUGCCCCGGGGGGCCACAUGGGCUGUAGGGGGUGCGCCUUGGCCUACAUGGGCCAAGGGCACCAGCCCCAAGAGGCCCAUGCGCCUAGGGUUCCAAAAGGGGAAGAGUCCCACAAGUGGAAGGCACCCCCUAGGUGCCUUGGGGGGAGGGAAACCUCCCUUGGCCGCCUCCCCCUAGGAGAUUGGAUCUCCUAGGCCGGCGCCCCCCCCUUGGCCCUCCUAUAUAUAAGGGGGAAGGAGGGCUUUUUGAUCCACGCCUUUGGUUGCCUCCUUCUCCCUCUCCAACACCUCCUCCUCCUCCAUAGUGCUUAGCGAAGCCCUGCCGGAGUACUGCAGCUCCAUCACCACCAUGCCGUCGUGCUGCUGCUGGAGCCAUCUUCCUCAACCUCUCCUCUCCCCUUGCUGGAUCAAGAAGAAGGAGACGUUACGCUGACCGUACGUGUGUUGAACGCGGAGGUGCCGUCCGUUCGGUGCUAGGAUCUCCGGUGAUUUGGAUCACGUCGUGUUCGACUACAUCAUCCCCGUUCUUUGAACGCUUCCGCUCGCGAUCUACAAAGGUAUGUAGAUGCAUCCGAUCACUCGUUGCUAGAUGAACUCAUAAAUGGAUCUUGGUGAAACCGUAGGAAAUUUUUUGUUUUCUGCAACGUUCCCCAACAGUGGCAUCAUGAGCUAGGUCUAUGCGUAGUUCUUCUUGCACGAGUAGGACACAAUUUGUUGUGGGCGUAGAUUUGUCAACUUUCUUGCCGCUACUAGUCUUAUCUUGCUUCAGCGGUAUUGUGGGAUGAAGCGGCCCGGACCAACCUUACACGUACGCUUACGUGAGACCGGUUCCACAGACUAACAUGCACUAGUUGCAUAAGGUGGCUGGCGGGUGUCUGUCUCUCCCACUUUAGUUGGAGCGGAUUCGAUGAAAAGGGUCCUUAUGAAGGGUAAAUAGAAGUUGACAAAUCACAUUGUGGCUUUCACGUAGGUAAGAAAACGUUCUUGCUAGAACCCUGAUUCAGCCACGUAAAACUUGCAACAACAAUUAGAGGACGUCUAACUUGUUUUUGCAGCAAGUGCUUUGUGAUAUGAUAUGGCCAAAGUUGUGAUGAAUGAUGAAUGAUCUAUAUGUGAUGUAUGAGAUGUUCAUGCUAUUGUAAUAGGAAUCACGACUUGCAUGUCGAUGAGUAUGACAACCGGCAGGAGCCAUAGGAGUUGUCUUUAUUUUUUAUAUGACCUGCGUGUCAUUGAGAAACGCCAUGUAAAUUACUUUACUUUAUUGCUAAACGCGUUAGCCAUUGUAGUAGAAGUAAUAGUUGGCGAGCAACUUCAUGGAGACACGAUGAUGGAGAUCAUGAUGAUGGAGAUCAUGGUGUCAAGCCGGUGACAAGAUGAUCAUGGAGCCCCAAGAUGGAGAUCAAAGGAGCAAUGUGAUAUUGGCCAUAUCAUGUCACGUUUAUUAUUUGAUUGGAUGUGAUGUUUAUCAUGUUUUUGCAUCUUGUUUACUUAGAACGACGGUAGUAAAUAAGAUGAUCCCUCAUAAUAAUUUCAAGAAGUGUUCCCCCUAACUAUGCACCGUUGCGACAGUUUGUUGUUUUGAAGCACCACGUGAUGAUCGGGUGUGAUAGAUUCUAACGUUCACAUACAACGGGUGUAAGACAGAUUUACACAUGCAAACACUUAGGUUGACUUGACGAGCCUAGCAUGUACAGACAUGGCCUCGGAACACAGAAGACCGAAAGGUCGAGCAUGAGUCAUAUAGAAGAUACGAUCAACAUGAAGAUGUUCACCGACGUUGACUAGUCCGUCUCACGUGAUGAUCGGACACGGCCUACUCGGAUCAUGUUAUACUUAGAUGACUAGAAGAGGGAUGUCUAUCUAAGUGGGAGUUCAUUGAAUAAUUUGAUUAGAUGAACUUAAUUAUCAUGAACUUAGUCUAAAAUAUUUACAAUAUGUCUUGUAGAUCAAAUGGCCAACGUAGUCCUCAACUUCAACGCGUUCCUAGAGAAAACCAAGCUGAAAGAUGAUGGCAGCAACUAUACGGAUUGGGUCCGGAACCUGAGGAUCAUCCUCAUAGCUGCCAAGAAAGAUUAUGUCCUACAAGCACCGCUGGGUGACGCACCUGUUCUCCCUGCAAAACAAGACGUACCGAUGACUACUCCCUCGUUCAGUGCGGCAUGCUUUACAGUUUAGAGCUAGGGCUCCAAAAGCGUUUUGAGAGACACGGAGCAUAUGAGAUGUUCGAAGAGCUGAAAAUGGUUUUCCAAGCUCAUGCCCGGGUCGAGGGAUAUGAAGUCUCCGACAAAUUCUUCAGCUGUAAGAUGGAGGAAAAUAGUUCUGUCAGUGAGCACAUACUCACUAUGUCUGGGUUACAUAACCGCUUGACUCAGCUGGGAGUUAAUCUCCCGGAUGAUGCGGUCAUUUACAGAAUCCUCCAGUCGCUUCCACCAAGCUACAAGAGCUUUGUGAUGAACUUCAAUAUGCAGGGGAUGGAAAAGACCAUUCCUGAAGUAUUUGCUAUGCUGAAAUCAGCAGAGGUAGAAGUCAAGAAGGAACAUCAAGUGUUGAUGGUCAAUAAAACCACUAAGUUCAAGAAGGGCAAGGGUAAAAAGAACUUCAAGAAGGACGGCAAGGUAGUUGCCGCGCCCAGCAAGCAAGCUGCCGGGAAGAAGCCAAAGAAUGGACCCAAGCCCAAGACUGAGUGCUUUUAUUGCAAGGGAAGUGGUCACUGGAAGCGGAAUUGCCCCAAAUACUUAGCGGACAAGAAGGACGGCAAAACAAAAGGUAUAUGUGAUAUAUAUGUAAUUGAUGUGUACCUUACCAGUACUCGUAGUAGAUCUUGGGUAUUUGAUACCGGUGCAGUUGCUCACAUUUGUAACUCAAAGCAGGAGCUGCGGAAUAAGCGGAGACUGGCAAAGGACGAGGUGACGAUGCGCGUCGGGAAUGGUUCCAAGGUCGAUGUGAUCGCCGUCGGCACGCUGCCUCUUCAUUUACCUACGGGAUUAGUUUUAAACCUCAAUAAUUGUUAUUUAGUGCCAGCUUUGAGCAUGAACAUUGUAUCGGGAUCUCGUUUAAUUCGAGAUGGCUACUCAUUUAAAUCCGAGAAUAAUGGUUGUUCUAUUUAUAUGAGAGAUAUGUUUUAUGGUCAUGCUCCUAUGGUGAAUGGUUUAUUCUUAAUGAAUCUCGAGCGUAAUGCUACACAUGUUCAUAGUGUGAAUACCAAAAGAUGUAAGGUUGAUAAUGAUAGUACCACAUACUUGUGGCACUGCCGCCUUGGUCACAUAGGUGUCAAACGCAUGAAGAAGCUCCAUGCAGUUGGACUUUUAGAGUCUCUUGAUUAUGAAUCAUUUGACACGUGCGAACCAUGCCUCAUGGGUAAAAUGACCAAGACUCCGUUCUCAGGAACAAUGGAGCGAGCAACCAACUUAUUGGAAAUCAUACAUACUGAUGUGUGCGGUCCAAUGAGUGUUGAGGCUCGCGGUGGCUAUCGUUAUGUUCUCACCCUCACUGAUGACUUGAGUAGAUAUGGGUAUAUCUACUUAACGAAACACAAGUCUGAAACCUUUGAAAAGUUCAAGGAAUUUCAGAGUGAGGUUGAGAAUCAACGUGACAGAAAAAUCAAGUUUCUACGAUCAGAUCGUGGAGGAGAAUACUUGAGUCACGAAUUUGGCACACACUUAAGAAAAUGUGGAAUAGUUUCACAACUCACGCCGCCUGGAACACCUCAGCGUAAUGGUGUGUCUGAACGUUGUAAUCACACUCUAUUAGAUAUGGUACGAUCUAUGAUGUCUCUUACCGAUUUACCGCUAUCUUUUUGGGGCUAUGCUUUAGAGACUGCCACAUUCACUUUAAAUAGGGCUCCGUCGAAAUCCGUUGAGACGACACCGUAUGAAUUAUGGUUUGGGAAGAAACCUAAGCUGUAAUUUCUAAAAGUUUGGGGAUGCGAUGCUUAUGUCAAGAAACUUCAACCUGAAAAGCUCGAACCCAAGUCGGAAAAAUGCGUCUUCAUAGGAUACCCUAAAGAAACAAUUGGGUAUACCUUCUACCUCAGAUCCGAAGGCAAGAUCUUUGUUGCCAAGAAUGGAUCCUUUCUAGAGAAAGAGUUUCUCUCGAAAGAAGUAAGUGGGAGGAAAGUAGAACUUGAUGAAGUAUUACCUCUUGAACCAGAAAAUGGCACAACUCAAGAAAAUGUUCCUGAGGUGCCUGCACCGACUAGAGAGGAAGUUAAUGAUAAUGAUCAAGAUACUUCUGAUCAAGCUUCUACUGAAAUUCGAAGGUCCACAAGGACACGUUCCACACCAGAGUGGUACGGCAACCCUGUCUUGGAAAUCAUGUUGUUAGACAACGAUGAACCUUCGAACUAUGAAGAAGCGGUGGCGGGCCAGGAUUCCGACAAAUGGCUAGAAGCCAUGAAAUCCGAGAUAGGAUCCAUGUAUGAAAGCAAAGUAUGGACUUUGACUGACUUGCCCGUUGAACGGCGAGCCAUAGAAAAUAAAUGGAUCUUUAAGAAGAAGACAGACGCGGAUGGUAAUGUGACCAUCUAUAAAGCUCGGCUUGUCGCUAAGGGUUAUCGACAAGUUCAAGGGGUUGACUACGAUGAGACUUUCUCACCGGUAGCGAAACUAAAGUCCGUCCGAAUCAUGUUAGCAAUUGCCGCAUUCUACGAUUAUGAGAUAUGGCAAAUGGACAUCAAAACGGCAUUCCUUAAUGGUUUCCUUAAGGAAGAAUUGUAUAUGAUGCAGCCGGAAGGUUUUGUCGAUCCUAAGAAUGCUGACAAGGUGUGCAAGCUCCAACGCUCGAUUUAUGGGCUGGUGCAAGCAUCUCGGAGUUGGAACAUUCGCUUUGAUGAGAUGAUCAAAGCGUUUGGGUUUACGCAGACUUAUGGAGAAGCCUACGUUUACAAGAAAGUGAGUGGGAGCUCUGUAGCAUUUCUCAUACUAUAUGUAGAUGACAUACUUUUGAUGGUAAAUGAUAUAGAACUCUUGGACAACAUUAAGGCCUACUUGAAUAAGAGUUUUUCAAUGAAGGACCUUGGAGAAGCUGCUUAUAUAUUAGGCAUCAACAUCUAUAGAGAUAGAUCGAGACGCCUCAUAGGUCUUUCACAAAGCACAUACCUUGAUAAGAUAUUGAAGAAGUUCAAUAUGGAUCAGUCUAAGAAGGGGUUCUUGCCUGUGUUACUAGGUGUGAAAUUGAGCUUUGCUCAAUGUCCCACCACGGCAGAAGAUAUAGAAGAGAUGAGUGUCAUCCCCUAUGCCUCAGCCAUAGGUUCUAUUAUGUAUGCCAUGCUGUGUACUAGACCUGAUGUAAACCUUGCCGUAAGUUUGGUAGGAAGGUACCAAAGUAAUCCCGGCAAGGAACACUGGACAGCGGUCAAGAAUAUCCUGAAGUACCUGAAAAGGACUAAGGAAAUGUUUCUCGUUUACGGAGGUGACGAAGAGCUCGUCGUAAAGGGUUACGUCGACGCUAGCUUCGACACAGAUCUGGAUGACUCUAAGUCACAAACCGGAUACGUGUAUAUUUUGAAUGGUGGGGCAGUAAGCUGGUGCAGUUGCAAGCAGAGCGUCGUGGCGGGAUCUACAUGUGAAGCGGAGUACAUGGCAGCCUCGGAGGCAGCACAUGAAGCAAUUUGGGUGAAGGAGUUCAUCACCAACCUAGGAGUCAUACCCAAUGCGUCGGGGCCAAUCAAACUCUUCUGUGACAACACUGGAGCUAUUGCACUUGCCAAGGAGCCCAGGUUUCACAAGAAGACAAGGCACAUCAAGCGUCGCUUCAACUCCAUUCGUGAAAAUGUUCAAGAUGGAGACAUAGAUAUUUGUAAAGUACAUACGGACCUGAAUGUAGCAGAUCCGUUGACUAAACCUCUCCCUAGAGCAAAACAUGAUCAACACCAGAAUUCCAUGGGUGUUCGAUUCAUCAUAAUGUAACUAGAUUAUUGACUCUAGUGCAAGUGGGAGACUGUUGGAAAUAUGCCCUAGAGGCAAUAAUAAAAGUAUUAUUAUUAUAUUUCCUUAUUCAUGAUAAUUGUCUUUAUUCAUGCUAUAAUUGUGUUAUCCAGAAAUCGUAAUACAUGUGUGAAUAACAGACACCAACAUGUCCCUAGUAAGCCUCUAGUUGACUAGCUCGUUGAUCAACAGAUAGUCAUGGUUUCCUAACUAUGGACAUUGGAUGUCAUUGAUAACGAGAUCACAUCAUUAGGAGAAUGAUGUGAUGGACAAGACCCAAUCCUUAACAUAGCACAAGAUCGUAUAGUUCGUUUGCUAGAGUUUUCCAAUGUCAAGUAUCCUUUCCUUAGACCAUGAGAUCGUGUAACUCCCGGAUACCGUAGGAGUGCUUUGGGUGUACCAAACGUCACAACGUAACUGGGUGACUAUAAAGGUAUACUACGGGUAUCUCCGAAAGUGUCUGUUGGGUUGACACGGAUCAAGACUGGGAUUUGUCACUCCGUAUGACGGAGAGGUAUCACUGGGCCCACUCGGUAAUGCAUCAUCAUAAUGAGAUCAAAGUGACCAAGUGUCUGGUCACGGGAUCAUGCAUUACGGUACGAGUAAAGUGACUUGCUGGUAACGAGAUUGAACGAGGUAUUGGGAUACCGACGAUCGAAUCUCGGGCAAGUAACAUAUCGAUUGACAAAGGGAAUUGCAUACGGAGUUGCUUGAAUCCUCGACAUCGUGGUUCAUCCGAUGAGAUCAUCGUGGAGCAUGUGGGAGCCAACAUUUGUAUCCAGAUCCCGCUGUUGGUUAUUGACCGGAGAGCCGUCUCGGUCAUGUCUGCCUGUCUCCCGAACCCGUAGGGUCUACACACUUAAGGUUCGGUGACGCUAGGGUUGUAGGGAUAUGUAUAUGCAGUAACCCAAAUGUUGUUCGGAGUCCCAGAUGAGAUCCCGGACGUCACGAGGAGUUCCAGAAUGGUCCGGAGGUAAAGAAUUAUAUAUAGGAAGUGCUGUUUCGGCCAUCGGGACAAGUUUCGGGGUCAUCGGUAUUGUACCGGGACCACCGGAAGGGUCCCGAGGGCCCACCGGGUGGGGCCACCUGCCCCGGGGGGCCACAUGGGCUGUAGGGGGUGCACCUUGGCCUACAUGGGCCAAGGGCACCAGCCCCAAGAGGCCCAUGCGCCUAGGGUUCCAAAAGGGGAAGAGUCCCACAAGUGGAAGGCACCCCCUAGGUGCCUUGGGGGGGAGGGAAACCUCCCUUGGCCGCCGCCCCCUAGGAGAUUGGAUCUCCUAGGCCGGCGCCCCCCCUUGGCCCUCCUAUAUAUAAGUGGGGAAGGAGGGCUUUUUGAUCCACGCCUUUGGUUGCCUCCUUCUCCCUCUCCAACACCUCCUCCUCCUCCAUAGUGCUUAGCGAAGCCCUGCCGGAGUACUGCAGCUCCAUCACCACCACGCCGUCGUGCUGCUGCUGGAGCCAUCUUCCUCAACCUCUCCUCUCCCCUUGCUGGAUCAAGAAGAAGGAGACGUUACGCUGACCGUACGUGUGUUGAACGCGGAGGUGCCGUCCGUUCGGUGCUAGGAUCUCCGGUGAUUUGGAUCACGUCGUGUUCGACUACAUCAUCCCCGUUCUUUGAACGCUUCCGCUCGCGAUCUACAAAGGUAUGUAGAUGCAUCCGAUCACUCGUUGCUAGAUGAACUCAUAGAUGGAUCUUGGUGAAACCGUAGGAAAUUUUUUGUUUUCUGCAACGUUCCCCAAUAGUAUUCCCAUUGUAAAAACAAUGUUUUACUGAAUUAUAAAGGCUAUGUUUAUACUUUUGCCUGAAAGUAUUAUGAUGCCUCCUGUGUGACCGUUUAUGUAUAUAUGUAUAUAACCUGAAAGUUUGCAGUCGUCGGCUUCAGCCCCCACGCAUAUAAUGCGGGGGUGUUCGCAAAAAACGCAUAUUCACACUUGGUCCAAUGUCUUGGUCCAUUAAGGAGGUGGUAGCGCAGCGAAUGAGGCAAUCGGACUAUAUUGCUUUAACACUUUCACUUAGCCAUAGGAGUUUGACGGUGGGACUACUAUAUAGCCCCUGGUACCUCCACGCUUGUCCGAAUACGGUGCGCGUACGUACAUGACCGGCAAACGGCCCUUCGUUAAUAAGGAGGAAUCCCGAAGAUUCCGCUAAGUCAUCGAGUGGUUGACCAGUCUGGCGCUUUAUCAUGACAGCCAGUUUUCGGCUUUCUCUACUGAGGUGCUCAUCCGGAUGAACCUGGGCACAAUCACAGUAGUUCUCCCGGUGCCACCUUAGCCGAUAGAGCGGAACGUAAGGUAGCAAAACACGGGAGUCGGGCAAACCCAACAUUUGAGCAAAGACAUGAUUCGGAGCUGAUGCAUAUAAGGCCAAGCUCGGGACGCCGAACACUCCCUAAGGUAUAUUCAGACUUUAUAACAUAUUACGGGCUGAACAAUGCCCUUAAUAAUAAACCCCGAGUGUCUAGGUACGUGCAAUAUUCUGACGUGGAGAAAUGCCAAUAAUGUCAGCAUCCUUCUCGGUUGUAUUGAGUAUCCGGAGGAUGUGAGCAACAAGAGACAAUAAAAAGGUUUAUGUAGGGUCUUAAUCUGAAAAGAAACCUUUGAGCGGGUCCUUGCUGCACGUCUGCGCUUGUGUCUCCGUUGUGCCGUGUCCUGGACGGGUGUGGCACAAUUGUCAUCUAUAAAAGAGAAGAACUUAGGUGAAAGUUGUCGUGCCAAAAAAAUUGGUUAUUCUCGAUAAACCAUUAAAAUUCAAGAUAAGUCAAGUUGAGGCGAACUAGCCCUGAUUACACACGGGAAGCCCUUGGUACCGUCUACGAGGGUUUAACCAUCAAACCAAUCUCAGGUAUAUCUAGUGACGCGCCGGACUCGUCUAACUGUGUCCGCGGUCUUGACGACCUGUCAUUUAUUCUGGUUGGUGAGGUCGUCUAGUGCUCGGCUGUUAAAGCAGCCGCACGUUCUUCCGCGUGUAGAGAACGCUCAAUAUUUCCACUAACUGUGAUGGUGCCACAUGGACCAGGCAUCUUAUGCUUAAGAGAAGCGUAAUGUGGUACCACGUUAAAACGAGCGAAAGCUGUUCUUUCGAGUAGUGCUUGAUAGCCGCUUCGGAAUGGAGCAACGUCGAAGUCUAACUUCUCACUUUGGUAGUUGUCGGAUGAACCGAACACAACCUCUAGUAUUAGAGAGCCUGUGGAGCGGGCCUCUGGGACUGGUAGUACUCCCAUGAAGGUAGUAUUACUGUGGCUGAUUUUUGUCGUGUCUAUCCCCAUUUUGCGGACUGUGUCCGGAUAUAUCAGAUUUAGACCACUGCCGCCGUCCAUAAGGACUCGUGUGAGAUGGUAUCCGUUUAUUAUUGGGUCUAACACCAAGGUAGCCAAUCCUUCAUGUCGGAUGCUUGUCGGGUGAUCCCUGCGAUCAAAAGUGAUCGAGCAGGCCAACCAGGGGUUGAACUUAGGGGUGACGGGCUCUACGACGCGUAUGUCUGAGAGUGCAUGUUUGGUUCUCCUCUUCGUCACGUGGAUCAUGUUUACUGUUUUAACCUCUGGUGGGAAUUUUUUCUGUCCUCUAGUGCUUUGCUGGCGAGGUUCGUCCUCGUCUUCACUUGGUGUCUCCCUCCCCUUGUGUUCGGCAUCUAGCUUACCGGCCUGCUUGAAGACCCAGCUUUCUCUGUGGGUGUGAUUUGCAGGUUUAUGGGGGGUGCCAUGAAUCUGACAUAGUUUGUGUAGAAUCUUGUUUAGGCUGGAUGGUCCAUCUCUGCUGCCUUUGAAAGGAUUUUUCCGCUGACCUGGUCGAGAUCCCCUGAAUCCGGCGUUUACCGCUGUAUUAUCUGGGCUGUCUUCUUUAUUUCGACGCUUGCUUUUACUGCGUCAUGGUUUUCCAUUGUCCUCCCUGACUUCGGAUGUGCUUGGGUCGCUGGUGCUACUGCGGGCUAACCAACUAUCUUCGCCCGCGCAAAAGUGGGUCAAGAGGCUUGUCAGGGCUGCCAUUGUUCUCGGUUUUUCUUGGCGGGUGUCUGGCGAGCCAUUCGUCUCAGACGCUGUGCUUGAAAGCUACUAAGGCUUCGGCGUCCGGGCAGUCGACGAUUUGGUUCUUCUUACUGAGAAACCUGUUCCAAAGCUUUUGGGCUGUCUCUCCGGGCUGUUGAAUUAUAUGACUUAAAUCGUUUGCAUCCGGAGGUCGGACAUAGGUCCCUUGAAAAUUAGCCCGAAAAGCUUCCUCGAGCUCCUCCCAACUUCCAAUUGAGUUUUCGGGGAGGGUUUUCAGCCAGUGCCGAGCUGGUCUUUAAGCUUGAGGGGCAAGUACUUGAUGGCGUGGAGAUCGUCUCCGCGAGCCAUAUGGAUAUGGAGGUUAAAGUCCUCAAUCCAGACCCCAGGGUCUGUGGUCCUGCCAUACGCCUCUAUGUUCACUGGUUUGAAUCCUUCUGGAAAUUCGUGGUCCAGCACCUCAUCGGUGAAACAUAGGGGGUGUGUGGCACCCCUGUAUUUGGAUGUAUCAUGGCAUUCGGACGGUUGUAGUAUUCGGUUUUGAUUGUGUGCCGGAGCGCGCUUCCUAGAUCCAUAGAUGGAUCUGGUCAUACUGGAUUUUUGGCGCAAGUCCUCACGUAGAUCGUGUGUUGACUUAUGUGCGGCCUUGUUAGCCGCUCUAUCGCGGCCGCAAGGUUGUUGAUCCGGCCGGUUGGCUGUUUUAUUUUUCGGCAGUGUGGGCUCUAAGGCCUCAUCGUUGAAUUUAGGUAAUAGCUUGCGCUUUGGAUAGCUCUUUGUGUGGUAACUUCCACCAUACUUUUCUUCGUUGUCGAGCACUUUGUUGCACCUGCUGUUGAGUGUAUUUUGUGCGGCCUUAAGCCUUUGCUUCUGCUUCUUCAAACUCCUUGCGGUGGCAAUAAGCCUUCUAUGGAGUUCUCUUGUUCCAAGUGCCUUUCCGGGAUGAUGUGUGCAUCUUCGUCCAGACUGUUUUCCUCCCCCGAGGGGGGUUGAUGAGGUUUAUCCUCGGCAUCACCAUUUGUAGUUUCAUCGUGCUCUGUCGCUGGGUCAAUGUGGUCGUCGUUUCCUCUGGAGUCGACUGGAGUGUUAUUUUCUCCUGCGUUGUUAUCGUUGUUUUUGCCGAGGCGGGAUUUUGAGCGGCGCCUAUGCCGACGCUUUGCUUGCUUCUCGAGGGAGCUAUUCUUCGCUACAUCCUGUCGUUCUUCGUCAUUGUUUUCUUUGGGUGUAUCCACCAUGUAUAUGUCAUGUGGUGAAGUGGCUGUCCAGCGCCCUGUGGGCACUGGUUCCGGUUCCUCUCCUGCAUCGUCAUCCGUGCCGUCGAUGUCUUUGGAGUCGAAAUCGAGCAUGUCAGUUAAAUCGUUGACAGAAGUGGGUGGUGGGUGGGCAGUGAACUUCUUCGCCGUCCGCAUCCCAUUCUAGCUGGAUAUAGUUCGGCCAAGGCUCUCCUAACAAGGAGAGAGACCUUAAUGAAUUUAGCACGUCGCCGAAAGGUGAGUGCUGAAAGAUAUUCGUGGAGGUGAACUCCAUGAUCGGCGCCUAAUCGGAUUAGAUGGGCACGGACGCAGGCGGCUCGGAGUCCGCUCGGCAAAACGGCUCUCGUAAGGGGUGAAGUCACUAUCCGGCUCCAUCGCCACUGAGAGUGCGGCCACCAUGGCGGGGUCUAUCCACCCGUCCUUGGGUGGCGCAAUUUUCUCCGGAUCGAGGGCCGGAGUAGUUGCAGGUGUGAUCUCCCGAACAUUGUCCGAUGGCAGAGUUACGUCAUGCUUGUCGUGAUCGUGCGGUGCACCUGACAUGGGCUCGAAUCCAUCGAAUAUCAAGUCUCCGCGGAUGUCGGCAGUGUAGUUUAAGUUUCCGAACCUGACCUGAUGGCCAGGAGCGUAGCUCUCGGUCUGCUCCAGAUGGCCAAGCGAGUUGGCCCGCAGUACGAAGCCGCCAAAUACGAAGAUCUGUCCGGGGAGGAAAACCUCAUCCUGGACCGCAUCGUUACCGAUGAUCGAAGGAGCCAUCUAGCCUUAUGGUGAUUACAUAGUGGAACUCUCAAUGAAAGCACCAAUGUCGGUGUCAAAACCGGCGGAUCUCGGGUAGGGGGUCCCAAACUGUGCGUUUGAGGCGGAUGGUAACAGGAGGUGGGGGACAUGAUGUUUACCCAGGUUCGGGUCCUCUAGAUGGAGGUAAUACCCAACUUCCUGUUUGAUUGAUCUUGAUGAUAUGAGUAUUACAAGAGUUGAUCUACCACGAGAUCGUAGAGGCUAAACCCUAGAAGCUAGCCUAUGGUAUGAUUGUUGUUGUCCUACAGACUAAACCCUCCGGUUUAUAUAGGCACCGGAGGGGGCUAGGGUUACGCAGAGUCAGUUACAAGGGAGGAGAUCUACAUAUCCGUAUUGCCAAGCUUGCCUUCCACGCCAAGGAAUGUCCCAUCUGGACACAGGACGAAGUCUUCAAUCUUGUAUCUCCAUAGUCCAACAGUUCGGCCAAAGGAUAUAGUCCGGCUGUCUAGAAACCCCUAAAUCGAGGACUUCGAGACCAAGGAAGGGCAGUACCCAAGCACCGGUCUACCCACAUAUCAAAUUAUCAAAGUAACGAACGUGAAUGAUAUGAGCAUGAUGAAAACUAGCUUGAUGAUAAUUCCCAUGUGUCCUCAGGAGCGCUUUCCUUUAUAUAAGAGUUUGUCCAGGCUUGUCCUCUGCUACAAAAAGGAUUGGGCUACCUUGCGGCACCUUGUUUACUUUUGUUACUUGUUACCCGUUACGAAAUACCUUAUCCCGAAACUAUCUGUUACCGAUAAUUUCAGUGCUUGUAGAGAAUACCUUACUAAAAACAGCUUGUCAUUUCCUUCUGCUCCUCAUUGGGUUCGACACUCUUACUUAUCGAAAGGACUACGAUAGAUCCCCUAUACUUGUAGUCAUCAGGAUCCAAGAUGCAUAUACAGCACUCCUACUCGUUUGUGCUCGCAUUGCCAUCGCAGUCAGUGAGGGAGUCCUGGAUUAGGGGGUCUCCGGACAGCCGGACUAUAUCCUUUGGCCGGACUGUUGGACUAUGAAGAUACAAGAUUGAAGACUUCGUCUCGUGUCUGGAUGGGACUCUCCUUAGCAUGGAAGGCAAGCUUGGCAAUACGGAUAUGUAGAUCUCCUUCCUUGUAACCGACUCUGUGUAACCCAAGCCUCCUCUGUUGUCUAUAUAAACCAGAGGGUUUAGUCCGUAGGACAACAACAAUCAUACCAUAGGCUAGCUUCUUGGGUUUAGCCUCUACGAUCUCGUGGUAGAUCAACUCUUGUAAUACUCAUAUCAUCAAGAUCAAUCAAGCAGGAAGUAGGGUAUUACCUCCAUCGAGAGGGCCCAAACCUAUGUAAACAUCGUGUCCCCCACCUCCUGUUACCAUCCGCCUCAGACGCACAGUUCGGGACCCCCUACCCGAGAUCCGCCGGUUUUGACACCGACAUUGGUGCUUUUAUCGAGAGUUCCACUGUGUCGUCACCAUAAGGCUUGAUGGCUCCUUCUAUCAUCGGUAACGACGCGGUCCAGGGUGAGGUUUUCCUCCCCGGACAGAUCUUCGUAUUCGGCGGCUUCGCACUGUGGGCCAACUCGCUUGGCCAUCUGGAGCAGAUCGAGAGCUACACCCCUGGCCAUCAGGUCAGGUUCGGAAACUUAAACUACACUGCCGACAUCCGCGGAGACAUGAUCUUCGACGGAUUCGAGCCCAUGUCAGGUGCGCCGCACAAUCACGUCGAGCAUGACGUAACUUAGCCGUCAGACAGUGUUCGUGAGAUCACACCUACAACUACUCCGGCCCUCAAUCCGGAGCAAAUUGCGCCAUCUGAGGACGGGGGGAUAGACCCCACCAUGGAGGCUGCACUCUCAGUGGCGAUGGAGCCAGAUACUGACUUCACCCCUCACGAGAGCCGUGUUGCCGAACCACUCAAUUCGUCUCCGGCUACGGACUCCGAGCCGCCUGCAUCCGUGCCUAUCGAAUCCGAUUGGGCGCCGAUCAUGGAGUUCACCUACGCGGAUACCACUACAAAAAAAGACACAUCCGUGACAUUUUGGGCCGAACAAAUUCUUUUU